This 70656-nucleotide long non-coding RNA is filed under the name Gossypium barbadense (sea-island cotton). RNAcentral's name for it is "long non-coding RNA (GBAR_LNC016777)". The stretch from base 61840 to 61984 matches the Rfam family "MIR7502 microRNA precursor family". Lineage: Eukaryota; Viridiplantae; Streptophyta; Magnoliopsida; Malvales; Malvaceae. The record is from RNAcentral.
UUGAAACUAUUAUUUGAGAUCAAAAAGAAAUUGAUGGUCGAAGCUGGAAUCGGAAGAUUUCCGCUGAUCAAAUUGGAGCUUAAGUCAAGAACUUCAAUAUUCUUCCAUAGAAAGUGCUCAACUUCUGUCAAAGAGUUGUGAGAUACGUUUAAGUAAGUCAAAGAGCCAUUCCCCACCUCUUGCAUCCACUGUGGAAUCUUGCCUUCAAUUUUGUUGCAAGAGAGGUCUAAGCUUUCCAAACUUUUAAGCCCUUUUAAAAAUUGGGGGAAUUCACUAAGAUUGCAAGAUGACAAAAGUAAGUCUGUAACAUUAGGCAAUAUAUGAUUAACACUAGAUGUAGUAUUAGAUGUUAAGGAUAGGCUGUUAUAUGAAAGGUCGAGAUGUUUUAGAUUUGGAAGGUUUGAGAACAUGCGAAACUCUAUGACACCACUAAGAUUAUUUGAGGAUAAAAGGAGCCAGGUAAGAUUGAGAAGUUGGAAUAUUGAAGAUGGAAGGGGACCUUGGAGUUUAUUAUUUUCUAGAUCUAAAUAUUCUAGUGAUUUGGUUUGGAAUUCUUUGAUAUGCCCACUGAAUUGAUUUUGAGAGAGAAUUAUACCCUUUAAGGAGGGAGCAGUAUACAACCAUGACGGAAGUGUUCCAUUGAGUAAAUUGUCAUAUAAGACUAAAUAUAUUAGAUUCGGAACAGCGGUUACCUCAUCUGGAAUAGAACCUUCUAAAGAAUUUUCAGAUAUUUCCAAGUAUUCCAACUGCGUUAGGUUUAGAAUUGACAAUGGAAUUUGUCCACUCAAUUUAUUUGAUCCCAAGUCUAAAUGAGUGAGUUGCAAGAGGUUUCCAAGUGAUCUUGGAACCGGUCCUGAUAAGUUGGAAUAGGAGAGAUCUAAAAACUUCAAGGACACAAGAUUCCCCAUCGAGUCAGGCAAUCCUCCAAAAAAAUUUGCGCCUCUAAGAAUCAAGUACUCCAAAGAUGAUAAAUUUGUGAUUGAGACAGACAAUCCUUGAAAGAAAGAAAUUCCUGAUAGAUCUAAGUACUUUAAGGCCCGUAGAUUAUCAACCGAAUCAAUGAAUUCUGUAGAGAAGGACAUCCUCGACAGAUCCAAAUGUUCGAGAUUGCUGCUCCGGUUCAACUUCAAAGGAUCAAGAUUGAGGUUUUGGUUGCCUCCCAAGUUGAGGAGAUUGAGGUUUGGCAAAUCAAAAAUGUUUUUUGGGAAUUUUCCUUGCAAAUCACAACCAGCAAGACUGAGAGACCUUAGAGAAGAGGAUAGAUUCAUGAAGACAUGAGCAUUAACAUAAGACAUGUCCAUUCCACCCAAAAAUAGAUGUCUGACAUCGGUUAGGUUGUGAACAAGUCCCUCCAGAGCAUGUUUGUCAAUUGUUUGUUCACCAAACACAGAGGAGGAGAGAUCAAGUGAAACCAAUUUUGACAGGUGGGAGACUUGGGAUGGGACUUCUCCUGCAAACCCUGUAUAAGAAAGGUUGAGGUAGAAUAGGCUAGUAAACCGACCGAACUCGGAUGGAAUUUUGGAAAGAUUAAAAUCAUUGUAGGCAAGGUUGAGUUUUUGAAGGUGAGGAAGAAGGAAGAGAGUGGUAUUGGAAGGGAAGUUGCCAUAUAGCCAACUGCAGCUCAAGUCAAGGGCAAUAACAUGAGCAUUUAGGUGGUCACAAGUGACCCCAUCCCAUGAGCAGCAAUCUGUACCCUCCUUCCAUGAAUUUGUCUUGGGAUAAGAUUUAAGGCCAGCAUAAUCAUUGCAAUAAGAAGAAACAUCCUCUGUUACGGAAAAAGAGUCCUUAAACUGGAUUAGGGAAGAGCAGGAGUGAGAUCCUGAAGAAGAAAAAGAAGCAUAAAGAUGGGGAAAGAAGAGGAAUAGGCAGAGAAAGAGAUAGGGGGCCAUGUUAUGUUUGUAGAGAAAGAAGAAGGAUAGGAAUGGUAUUUGUAGGCAACAAAUAGUACCACAACAUUGGUGUUACAGUAUUUUUUUUUUCUUUUACAUUGAAAAGCUAUGGAUAUUAGAUUUUCAAAAAUUUUGUAUUUUUCACCAUCAUCAACAACCACUUAGUCUUCUUUUUACCAUAUAUUUUUCAUUCUAUUUUUUUAACAAAAUCUUGUAUUUCAUUUCAGCUUUCAAAACAACUAAAAAAUUUAAAAUUGAUGAAAUUACAAAGUAGAUUGACUUAGUCUUCUUUCCUAUAACAUUUAAAAGAAUAUCUUGUCAACCAAAGUUAAUUAAUGUGAAAAUUCUUUUUCACACAAAAGAACAAAAUUGUGCUCUAUUCACUAAGUUAGAGGAAAAAGACUGCUAGAUUUUUUAAUUAUUUUUUCUUUGAAAAAUUUGAAAGUUUUUUACUGCCUUUAAGCCAAUAAAAAAAACAUGUAUUAAUUUUGUUUUUAAAAAUAGUGUGUUUGAUUGUGAAAUGAUUCAUCAUCCUCCACCACAAACUAUCCAUAUUUGCAGUGUGAAAGCAGCUACUUUCAUAAAGAAAUUACUUAGGAGAUGGGAUCCACCAAUUUUACCUAAACUCGCAUCAACAUUGUUUAGCAAUUUCAAAAUAGACUAAUUAGUCUGGUUCAAAUACCAAGACUACAAUAUCUAUUCACUUCACUUGGUCUUGCUUCCUAUCGCUGUCAGCCAAACUUGAUCGACUAGCAGUAAGGAAAUUUCAGUCAUUUGCAGCAUAAUGUACAAGAAUUCCACUCCCGCAAAAUAAUUUACAAUAUGGACUAACACACUAAAAAUGAUUUUUAAAAAAUGAUUUUUAGAAAGUAAUUUUUGAAAAAUGGUUAGAAGAUAAUUUUUGUUUCUGAAAUAGUUAAUUUUUUUUGGUGUUUAGAUAAAUUUUGUUAUGUUUUCAUUGUUUACUUGAGUUUAUUUCAUAAAGCUUAUGUAUAUAUUUUAAUUAAUCAUGUUUUAGUUUUAAUUAAUCUUAAUUUACUUAAUUAAGCUUAAUUGUUAACUUCGUACAUUAGAAUAUAAAUUUAUGUUUAAUUAAGUUGAAAGUGAUAAAUAUUUAUUUUGAAUAUUAUUUGGAUAAGUUGAAAAAUGAUUUAAUUUGAUAAAAUUGAAGUCAGGGUCAUAGAACUAUGCUUUUUACUGACAAAAUCUUAGAUGCAGUGAUUAUUGAGACUAAAAAAUGAAAGUCAUGAAAGAAGACAUAAAUAGUUGAACCAUACAAAAUGUUACAUUUUGUAAUGCAAUGAAAUAUAGAUGAAUUGUUACAAAUAUAAAGACAGAUGCAUUGCAAUGCAACCUUUCUCCAUAGGAAAAAAAAUUUGACAGACUUCAAAACAAGAAAUUAUGAAGAUACAACAUACACACUUGAACAUCAUUUCCACUAACUAGAUCCUUCUUCGUCCAUUGCUGCGACUGCCAUCCUUUGACUUUCUUCUUCGCUACUUCUCAUGUUGGAUUCAACCAAAUUCACCAACCAUUUUGGCUUACUAAUUUGGAAAACAACAUAUCCCACGACCAUUCCAAACACUACUCCGCAUCCAUAACCUAUCAACACCAAUUUCCAACCAAAAGAGAUGUUUGAUUUUGAACCAUCUUUUCCAAGCACAUUUGGAGGUGGUGGCUCAAUGAUGUUGCAACCUUUUGAGACCGGAAAUCCACAUAAUCCCUUGUUUCCUUCAUAUGAAUCAUUUCCAUAUGUGUUGAACUGUUUGCCUUGAGGAAUCUGACCAUGGAGUUGAUUUUCAGAAACAUUGAAGGACGAAAGAAAUGCCAGAUCUGCAAAUCUAUUUCGAAUUGUCCCUGACAACCUGUUUGAAUAUAGGUCCAACCAUUCAAGACUCGUCAAAUUCCCUAUUGAAGUGGGGAUACCACCGUUAUAAACACUGUCAUAUGGCAUGAAUAACAUACUCAUAUAUUUACUGUCACAUGGCAUGAAAAACACACCCUCAUAUUCACUUUCACAUUAGUCAUCAUAAGCUUAUAACAUAUGUCAUAGCAAUCUCAUAUAUAUUCAUAAUUUCACAAUUUCACAAGCGUACAUAUAUCACAUUUAAUCAUAUGCGCGAGAAAACUUACUCUCACUUACUCUUGGAAUUUAGAGUAGGAAUUUAGGCUACCACUAAAUUCUCAUCAAUUAAACAAUGAAUCAUCUACGAGCAACAAUUUCAAACCACAAUGAAUCGAGAGCUCAAACUAGCUCUUCCUCUAACUCGUAGAAGGCUUUAAUGAAUCCGAGGCUUCACACAUGACAAUCACACAAUACUCACAGUCAAAUGACAGCCAAGGACCCACUUAAACUAACCAAAAUAAAAGCCUAAGCUACCUUCUAAUGUAACCAAACCCUUUAGCAUGACGAACUUAAAAUGCAAAUAUAUCAAUCUACACUUAAACAUUUUCACAUGAAACAAGUUUCAGUCAUCCCCCAUAUUCAUUUAUAGCUAAACUCCAAUCUUUAAACCACACAAAACUACAAGUUUCAAGGUAUAACAUUUUUCCACAAAUUUUGACCAUAAUAAUGAAAAUUCAUUAAAACACGGGAAAUCUAUAAUGAAACUUAGAAGUAAUUUUAAAAAACUUCUAAUUAAGUUAAAACAAGUUGAAAAACACUUUUAAAUCACUUUUUCAUCCACAAUCUCGAAUUCCACCAUUAAUGACCCAAUUUUUAGGUUUAAAUUAAAACAUGCAAUUUCAUAACUAAAAUCUCAAUUUUAAAGUCUAGAUAACAUUAAAAACUAAUGAGAAAGUAAAUGGUUACCUUUGAUGAAAGAUUAAACGAGUUUUGAAGUAAAUUUGAAAAACCCACAAUUGAAGAAGAAGAUGAAAUCUAUGGCGUUUUUGAGUGUUUUUCUUGGAAUUAUAAGAAAUCAAAGUACUAUUGUUUGGGAAUAAAAAUUAAUUGAAAGAUCAAGGGAAUAGCAAAGGACGGCAAUAGCAAACUUUGGAGAGUAACUAUUGUGAAAUAGAACAGGGAAUGGGGUUUAUUAGGUUCAAUUUAAAACAUUGGUAAAACUUCAAUCUAAGUGCUCACUAUUUUAACUUUGUUACAAAUUAGUUCUUUUUCUAAAUUUUAGGUAUUUAAAACUCAUUUUCAGAAAUCGGCUCAAUUCCCUAAUAGCCAUUGUCGAAAACAUUAUUGAAUACUAACCUUACGAAAUUUUGAUUACAUAUAGGCUAAAAUUCCUAAAAAAAAAUUGAAACUCUUAGAUCCUAUUUUGGGGUGUUCACGUAUGGUCAUGAUUCAUGUUGAAUUAAUACAUCAUUCACCGUAAUAAGGCUUAUCGUUGUAAUAAUUAGUUAAAUCACCUAAUAUCUAAAAAAUUAUUAUUAUUUUCAUAAAAUCAUUGAUCAAAUUAUUGUUUUCAAAUUUCAUACAUAAAAUUAACAAAUAAAGAUAGCUCUAAAUAGCAAAACCCAAUAUGUGUAACAAGUAUUUUUAUUAAUCCAUUUGGAAUGUUAAGGUUUGCUGGAGCAAAUAAAUUGAUUAAUGCUUUGAACUUUCCAAACACUUUUUAUAGUUUUGUUAUAUGCAUUUUGUAUAAUUAGUAUAUUUGAAUAUAUUAGAUACAUCGUCUAAAACAAUGCCAAUUGUAAUUUUUUUAUAUUUUGUUGAUCAUAAGCGUAUUAUAUAAAUAAUUUAAAAAAAAAAAGAUGGAGUGAUACAUUUAUGUAGUGCUUAUGAAUAUAAUGUUGGAUUAAAAUCCUUAAUUAUGAGUACAUAUGUAUAUGCUUGAUAUUACAAUUAUCUUAAUAAUUUUGUUUCUGUUCUUGUUGAUUGAUGAUUAUAGAAAUCAUUAUUCUUCUGAAGGCAUACUUUGUUGUCAAUGACAGUACCUGCACCCUAAAAAAGUCACCAGCUUUAACGACUACAAAAGUUGUCCUGCCUGAUAUUUAUUAAAAAAUCACCAGGAAGCACAUUGUCAGGACAUCCUUGCUGGAAAAAAACUUGGUAGGAUGGUUUUUCUGUGCAAACUUAGUAAUUAAUUUAUGUUGUUUUUACCAAACUUUGUAGCGUUUCACUUUUGGUAAAAUUUCAUCCUUGGUCCCUUUAAACUCCUUUUUGCUUUAAUUUGAUUGCUUUCUAGCGUUGCAAAUUACAUAACACUCUUCAAAUGUCUUAUUAAAUUCUCACUUUUACGAGUGCUAUGUUAAUCAAUUUUAAGUUCCAUAUAACACUUACAUGGCUACAAAAUGUGUGUGUGUGUAAGUGUCCUCAACCACAAACAAUCCAAAUUUGCUGAGAAACCACCCAUUAUAUAUAGGUUUGCCAAUGAGAUGGCAAGCAGACUGCUAGCUAGAAAUUCAUGCAUCUUUGAAUCACCAAUUCAAUUAAUAAGCUUAACUAGAGGAAAUAAGGACUUUACACCACCAAUUAAAGCAACCUAUAUGUACCCUUUUACAGUCUGCAUUGUUCCAUGUUUCCAUUCAUUACAUCAUUCCUUCAACUCUGCUAUAUAUUAUUACCGUCUCCAGAAAACCAAACCUUUUACUGCUAACUUGUAAAAAAAUUAUGAAAAUACAACAGAGAUCAUUGAGACAUUGUUGAAGUUGGCUUGCAUGCAGACCAAGAAGCACACCAAGCUGUCCGAGAUAUGCAAGUUGCAGCUGAAGCUUAUGCUGCUGUUUUGUUACUUUCAAAUAGAUAUUUUAUUAUUUACUUAGAUAUGAACUAAGUUGCUGAUAUGCUUGAUGUAAUUAGGAGCUGAUAGAUUGAUAAAUCAGCUUUACCAAGUGUACAAGCAAUGUUUAUCAAGUUACUAAGCCACUUAGUGGAGUUAGGUAUGUGUUUAGGUAACAUUUUCUUAUUUUUGACCAGCUGAUUGCUUGCUAUAUGUAAUGGCAUUGUGCCUUCAUUCAAAUGUAAAGAAAUCUUUCAGAAAAUUCUUCUUCAUUUGGUCUUUACCUAAGCAUUUUUUUUCACGAAGCUCUUGCUGUUUUUGUUUUGUUUGUUGAGCAAGAUAACAAUGCUUUAUGCUUAAGUUUCUGUCAAAAUUUCUCAUUCUGUUUUCUUAGUUCCUACAGACAUUUUGUUCUCCUUUCUCCUUUACUGAGCAGUAGCAAAGAUUAUCGAGACUAAAUUGAAAUCCAUGAAAGAAGACAUAAACAACACCACCAUACAAAAUGUCACACUCAAACAAACCAUUACAGAUACGAAAUGCAAUGAAAGACAGAGGAAUUGGUACAAUAAUAAAGACAGCCAGAUACCAAUGCAACCCUUCACCAUAGGCAAAACGGUCUACAAACAAGAAAUUAUGAAAAAUACAACACUAAUUCUUGAACAUCAUUUGCAGUAAUUAAAUCCUUCUUCGUCUACUGCUGUGAUUGCCUUUCUUUGACUUUCUUCUUCGCCUCUUCUCAUGUUGGUUUUCAACCAAAUUCACCAACCAUUUUGGCUUACCAGUUUGGAAAACAACAUAUCCCACGGACAUUCCGAACACUACUCCGCAUCCAUAACCUAUCAACACCACUUUCCAACCAAAAGCAAUGUUUGAUUUUGAGCCAUCUUUUUCAAGCACAUUUGGAGGUGCUGGAUCAAUGAUGUUGCAACCUUUCGAGACCGGAAACCCACACAGUCCCUUAUUUCCUUCAUAUGAAUCAUUUCCAAAUGUGUUGAAUUGUUUGCCUUGAGGAAUCUGACCAUGGAGUUGAUUUUCAGAAACAUUGAAGGACGAAAGAAAUGGCAGAUCUGCCAAUCUAUUUGGAAUCGUCCCAGACAACCUGUUUGAAGAUAGGUCCAACCAUUCAAGACUUGUCAAAUUCCCUAUUGAGGUGGGGAUAUCACCAAUAAGGUUAUUAUGAGAAAGGUUGAGCCCUUUCAGUAAGUUAAGCUUCCCAAUAACCUUUGGAAUACCCCUUUCAAACUGAUUGUUUGAUAGAUCAAUGAUCAUCCACAUGGUGAAAAUUUUCACCAAUUCCCUAUCUUGUCCUUUCAUAACAAUUCCAAUGGAAUAGGUAUAGAAGCCAACUCCAUAAUCAUGCACCCCCAUGUAUGACACUGUACUACCAAUCUUCUCUAGAUUUAUGAUAGCCUUGAAGCUGUUGAUGUAUCUCACUGGUAGGGGUCCAGAAAAAUAAUUACUUGAGAGAUCAAAAAUUUGGAUUUUAGAGAAAAAAGGGAUAGACUUGGAGCUAUUGACACAUAAGGAACCAUGCAGUUGAUUUGACUUCAAUACAAGAACUUGUAGCUGUGGAAGACUUCCCAACCAGUGAGGAAAUGUAUCAUUGAUCUUGUUGUUACCAAGAUCUAGCACUUCCAGACCUCUACAAUUAAGGAUGGAUGGUGUCAAAGGCCCUUCUAACAGAUUUCCAUUUAAGUUGAAAUUACUCAAUCGGCAUCCCUUUGCAAAUGCUGGAGGAAUCGUCCCAUAAUACUUGUUCUUCUUCAGAUUCAAGAAUAGAAGGCUGUUGCUCAAAUUUCCAAAACAUUGUGGAAUUGUUCCACUCAAGUUAUUGUGGGACAAAUCAAGAAUUUCAAGAAAAGCGGCAUUGCAUAUUAAAGAAGAGACCUCUCCAUUGAAACUAUUAUUUGAGAUCAAAAAGACUCUUAUGGUCGAAGCUGGAAUCGGAAGAUUUCCACUGAUCAAAUUGGAGCUUAAGUCAAGAACAUCAAUAUUCUUCCAUGGAAAGUGCUCAACUUCUGUCAAAGUGUUGUGAGAUACAUUUAAGUGAGUCAAAGAGCCAUUCCCCACCUCUCGCAUCCACUGUGGAAUCUUGCCUUCAAUUUUGUUGCAAGAGAGGUGUUGAAGUAAUGGUCAGCAUGCAGCAACCAAGACUGUCAAAGGCACUACAUGCAGAAGCUGCUGGUUCACCUAGUCAGCAAGCUGUUUAUGUUUCAUUUUGUAAUUUUAAGUUAGAGUAAUGUAACUUAGUUGCUUUAUAACUAUGUUAGGUUUAUGUUUGAUGUAAUUUUGAUGUUGACUGAGCUGAUAAAUCAGCUUUGUUUGUUUAUUCAAGCUAAUUAGCACAAGUUACUAUGUGUAUUAGUGGUAGUAGGUGAAGUUUAGGUCAACCUACUGUUUUGUCAAGAUUGUAAACUUGUUUUAUGUAUUGGCUUUGUGCCAUAUUUAGUUUGAUGAAUGAAUUCAAGAAGUUAUCAUCCAUAUGCUCUCCAUUUUUAGUUUUGCUUAAAAAUCCAUUUGAGUUUUCUGCUUUGUUUCUCCUACAAGUCACGAGACUUGCCAUACAAGCAUUCUGCUGAAGCUUGCUGCUGCUGCCUCUUGCACCAACAAUUGGUAUCUAGAGCCACAUUCUUAGAGGACCUGUUGUAGUUCAGUAUCAAAACGAUGGCAUCAUCAGGUUUUUCACCAGCUUCACCACCUGUCUUCAAUGGAGAGGGCUUCAACAUUUGGGCAGUUAAGAUGAGGACUUACCUGCAGGCAUUCGACCUAUGGGAAGUUGUUAACUCAGAUGCUGAGCCAGCACCUCUUCGAGCUAAUCCAACAGUUGCUCAAAUAAGGCAACACACUGAUGAAAGGACAAAAAGGCACAAGGCCAUGUCAUGCAUACAGAAUUGUGUGACAGAUGUGAUCUUUAUGAGGAUCAUGGCCUGUGAGACACCAAAGGAGGCUUGGGACAAGCUGAAAGAAGAAUUUCAGGGGACUGAGAAAACAAGGCAACAACAGCUGCUCAAUUUGAGAAGAGAUUUCGAAAAUCUCAAAAUGAAAGAGGAAGAAACAGUUAAGCAGUACUCAGACCGGAUUAUGGCUGUUGUAAACAGCAUAAGGCUCCUAGGAGAGCAAUUCAGUGAAGCUAGAAUGGUUGAGAAAGUCAUGUCCACUCUACCAGAGAGGUAUGAAGCUAAAAUUUCAUCCCUCGAAGACUCAAGGGACUUGACAACUAUCUCCUUAACUGAGCUAAUCAAUGCCUUGUAUGCAUAAGAGCAAAGAAGAGCUAGCAGACAAGAGGAGCACCAGGAAGGGGCUUUUCAAGCCAAAGAAGCCUCGAGCAUCAAAACUCAUAAAGGCAAAAAGUUCUGGAAAAACAAGCCUAAGCCUGAUGCUGCUAGGAGCAGUGACCAACUCUGCAGACAUUGUAAAAGAGCUGGUCAUCCAGAAGAUAGAUGCUGGUUUAGACCAGAUGCAGUAUGCCAAAACUGCAAGAAAAAAGGCCAUGUUGAAAAAGUUUGCAAGAAUAGAAGCAAACCAAGACAGAAUCAAUUUCAGCAACAAAAGGUGGAAGCUCGAGUAGCUGAAGAAAGUAGUGAUCAAGAAGAACAUGUUUUUGCUGUGUCAUGUGCAGCAAAUCAGAAGAAGGGUUCAAAGGGCUGGCUUCUAGACAGUGGGUGCACAAACCACAUGUCACCAGAUGCAACUAUCUUCAAAACCCUGGACAGAACCUGCAAAACCAAAGUAAAAAUUGGAAAUGGUCAGUUAAUCAAUGCUGAAGGAAGAGGAGAUGUGCUGAUUCAUACUUCUACAGGUGGCAAAAUCAUUUCAAAUGUACUUUUGGUACCUGAAAUCGAUAGGAACCUUCUCAGUAUAACUCAACUACUUGAGAAAGGUUACUCAGUUGUUUUCAAGGAGAAAGAAUGUCAAAUUUUUGAUCCAAGUGGAUCAAAUCUUAUAACAGUCACCAUGACUGAUAAAUGUUUUGAAGUAGACUGGCCAAAUGACUCACAUUCAGCCUGCAUAGCCUCCACUAAUGACUCGAGACUCUGGCAUCAGAGGCUUGGACAUGCAAACUACAAAUCCAUAGCCCGCAUGGUCAAUGAAGGUCUGGCAGAAAAUUUCAUUGAUUCAGUGAAGAAUGAUGAGCUUUGUGAGAUAUGUCAGCAAGGAAAAUUGGCAAGAUUGCCAUUUCCAACAAGCACAACAUGGAGAGCAUCAGAGAAGCUCCAGCUUGUGCAUACAGAUGUGUGUGGACCAAUGAAGACUGAGUCUCUCAAAGGAAGCAGGUACUUUAUUUUAUUUAUUGAUGACUUAACAAGAUACUGCUGGAUUUAUUUUCUAAAACAGAAAUCAGAAGUACCAUCUAUGUUCCUGAAGUAUAAGGCUGCUGUUGAAACUGAGUCUGGUUGCAAACUUAGAGCAAUGAGGUCAGAUAAUGGAACUGAGUACACCUCAGCUCAGUUCCAAGUCUACUGUGAAGAAGCAGGUAUCAAACACCAGUUGACUAAUGUGUAUACACCCCAACAGAAUGGGGUCAGUGAAAGGAAAAACAGAAGCUUGAUGAACAUGGCAAGAUGUCUUCUGUUUGAGAAGAAUUUGCCCAAAAGUCUGUGGGCUGAAGCUGUUAACACAGCAGUUUAUCUCUAAAAUAGGCUCCCAACCAAGGCUCUGGCUGAGAAGACUCCAUUUGAAGCCUGGUUUGGGUUUAAGCCAUCACUGGCUCAUCUCAGAACCUUUGGUUGUCUGUGCUAUACUCAAGUUCCAGCUGAGAAGAGAAGCAAGCUAGACAAAAGAGCUCAAGCAGGGAUCCUGAUCGGCUACAGCUUGGUUAAGAAGGGCUACAGAAUUCUAGAACCUGCUACAAACAAGAUAUUGGUUAGCAGGGAUGUUGUUUUCAAUGAAAAAGGACACUGGAAUUGGGAGAAGGCUGAACCAGAGGCAGUGGCUGAAGAUCUGGCAGUGGACCAAGUUGAAAAUGGUGAAAACACACCUGAAAUGGAUGUAGAUGAUGUUCCAAUCAGAGGCACUCGAUCACUGGCUGAUGUUUAUGAAAGAGCACAAGUGGCUACUGUUGAACCAAAUUGCUUUGAAGAAGCAGAAAACCAGGAGGACUGGAAGCAAGCAAUGAUUGAAGAAAUCAGAAUGAUUGAAAAGAAUCAGACCUGGAGUCUGGUUGAUAAACCAACAAACAGGAAGAUUAUUGGUGUCAAAUGGGUUUAUCGAGUAAAGAACAAUGCUGAUGGUAGCCUAAACAAGUUAAAGGCUAGAUUGGUUGUGAAAGGCUUCAGUCAAAGGUAUGGAUCAGACUACCUGGAAACCUUUGCACCAGUGGCCAGGUUAGACACUAUUAGACUGCUAGUUGCCUUAGCAGCACAAAAACAGUGGCUGAUACACCAACUUGAUGUAAAAUCAGCAUUUCUGAAUGGAUUCCUUGAAGAGGAGAUUUAUGUGGAGCAACCUCAAGGUUUCAAGGUGUCUGGCAAAGAAGAUAUGGUGUACAAGCUCAACAAAGCCUUGUAUGGCUUGAAACAGGCUCCAAGGGCCUGGUAUAGCAGAAUAGAUGGCUAUCUGACCAGUCAAGGAUUUGAAAGAAGUCUUAGCGAGCCAACUCUGUAUGUUAAAUCAACUAGUGCUGAAACUCAGCUCAUUGUCUCAAUAUAUGUCGAUGACCUACUGGUGACAGGAGGAGAUCAUGAGAUGCUAAGCAGUUUUAAAGUCAAAAUGCAACAGCACUUUGAAAUGUCAGACUUGGGAUUGAUGUCUUACUUCUUAGGCAUGGAAGUAACUCAAGCUAAGAAUGGGAUUUGGCUAAGUCAAAAGACCUUUGCUAUGAAGGUUCUCAACAAAUUCUCAAUGGAGAAUUGCAAAGCAACCAGCACACCAGUUGCUGUUGGAGAAAAACUCUCGAGCCAAGACAAGCAUGAAAAGGUUUGUGAAACAACCUAUCGAAGUCUAGUUAGAUGUUUGUUGUAUUUGACUGCUACUAGACCUGACAUAAUGUAUGCUGUGAGUCUACUCUCGAGGUUUAUGCAUUCUUCAAAUGAAAGUCAUUUUAGAGCUGCAAAAAGGGUUCUAAGAUACAUCAAAGGAACUUUGUCCUAUGGAAUGCAGUUUACCAAGGCUGAGAACUUGAGGCUAGUUGGAUAUUGUGACAGUGAUUGGGCUGGUUCUUUGGAUGACAUGAAGAGCACUACAGGUUAUGCAUUCAACAUAGGCUCUGCUAUGAUAUGCUGGAGCUCAAAGAAGCAAGGAGUAGUGGCUCAGUCGACUGCAGAAGCAGAAUAUGUGGCUGCUGCUGCAGCAGUCAAUCAAGCCAUAUGGCUUAGAAAAAUUUUGAAAGAUAUCAAUCAUGAGCAAAAGGAAGCAACUGAGAUAAUGUCUGACAACCAAUCAGCAGUUGCUAUUGCAAAGAAUCCUGUUUUUCAUGGAAGGACCAAGCACUUCAACAUCAAACUUCAUGCAGUUCGGGAAAUGGAACAAGCUCAUGUUGUUAAGCUGAUACAUUGCAGUUCUGAAGAGCAAAUUACUGAUAUUUUAACAAAAGCACUAAGUGUUUCCAAGUUUCAACACCUGAGAGCUAAUAUGGGAGUUUGCAACAUGCUAACCAAGGAGGAGUGUUGAAGUAAUGGUCAGCAUGCAGCAACCAAGACUGUCAAAGGCACUACAUGCAGAAGCUGCUGGUUCACCUAGUCAGCAAGCUGUUUAUGUUUCAUUUUGUAAUUUUAAGUUAGAGUAAUGUAACUUAGUUGCUUUAUAACUAUGUUAGGUUUAUGUUUGAUGUAAUUUUGAUGUUGACUGAGCUGAUAAAUCAGCUUUGUUUGUUUAUUCAAGCUAAUUAGCACAAGUUACUAUGUGUAUUAGUGGUAGUAGGUGAAGUUUAGGUCAACCUACUGUUUUGUCAAGAUUGUAAACUUGUUUUAUGUAUUGGCUUUGUGCCAUAUUUAGUUUGAUGAAUGAAUUCAAGAAGUUAUCAUCCAUAUGCUCUCCAUUUUUAGUUUUGCUUAAAAAUCCAUUUGAGUUUUCUGCUUUGUUUCUCCUACAAGUCACGAGACUUGCCAUACAAGCAUUCUGCUGAAGCUUGCUGCUGCUGCCUCUUGCACCAACAAGAGGUCUAAGCUUUCCAAACUUUUAAGCCCUUUUAAAAAUUGGGGGAAUUCACUAAGAUUGCAAGAUGACAAAAAUAAGCUUGUAAGAUUAACAGUAGAAGUUGUAUUAGAUGUUAAGGAUAGGCUGUUAUAUGAAAGGUCAAGAUAUUCGAGAUUUGGAAGGUUUGAGAACAUGCGAAACUCUAUGACACCACUAAGAUAAUUUGAGGAUAAGCUAAGUUGGGUAAGAUUGAGAAGUUGGAAUAUUGAAGAUGGAAGAGGACCUUGGAGUUUAUUAUUCUCUAACCAUAUCCAUUCUAGUGAUUUGGAUUGGAAUUCUUUGAUAUGCCCACUGAAUUGAUUUUGAGAGAGAUAUAUUGUCUUUAAGGAGGGAGCAAUAUACAACCAUGACGGAAGUGUUCCAUUGAGUAAAUUGUCAGAUAAGUCUAAAUAUAUUAGAUUAUGAAAAGCGGUUACCUCAUCUGGAAUGGAACCUUCUAAAGAAUUGUUAGAUAUUGUCAAGUAUUCCAGCUGCGUUAGGUUUAGAAUUGACAAUGGAAUUUGUCCACUCAAUUUGUUCCAUCCCAAGUCUAAAACAGUGAGUUGCAAGAGGUUCCCCAAUGAUCUUGGAAUCUGUCCACUCAAUUGGUUCAGCCACAAGUCUAAAUGAGUGAGUUGCAAGAGGUUCCCUAAUGAUCUUGGAAUUUGUCCACUCAAUUGGUUCUUCGACAAGUCUAAAUGAGUGAGUUGCAAGAGGUUCCCCAAUUUUCUUGGAAUUUGUCCACUCAAUUGGUUCUCCGACAAGUCUAAAUGAGUGAGUUUCAAGAGAUUCCCCAGUGAUCUUGGAACCAGUCCUGAUAAGUUGGAAUGGGAGAGAACUAAAAACUUCAAGGACACAAGAUUCCCCAUCGAGUCAGGCAAUCCUCCACAAAUAUUUGCGUCUGAAAUUAUCAAUUGUUCAAGAUUGCUGCUCCGAUUGAACUUCAAAGGAUCAAGAUUGAGGUUUUGGUUGCCUCCCAAGUUGAGGAGAUUGAGGUUUGGCAAAUCAAAAAUGUUUUUUGGGAAUUUUCCUUGCAAAUCACAACCAACAAGACUGAGAGACCUUAGAGAAGAGGAUAGAUUCAUGAAGACAUGAGCAUUAACUGAAGACAUGUCCAUUUCAUCCAAAAACAGACGUCUGACCUCGGUUAGGUUGUGAACAAGACCCUCCAGAGCAUAUUUGUCAAUUGUUAAUAGUUCAUCAAACCCAGAAAGAUCAAGUGAAACCAAUUUUGACAGGUGGGAGACUUGGGAUGGGACUUCUGAAAACCAUGUAUUGGAAAGGUUGAGGUAGAAUAGGCUUGUAAACCGACCGAACUCGGAUGGAAUUUUGGAAGAAUUAAAAUCAUUGUAGGCAAGGUUGAGUUUUUGAAGGUGAGGAAGAAGGAAGAGAGUGGUAUUGGAAGGGAAGGUGCCAUAUAGCCAACUGCAGCUCAAGUCAAGGGCAAUAACAUGAGCAUUUAGGUGGUCACAAGUGACCCCAUCCCAUGAGCAGCAAUCUGUACCCUCCUUCCAUGAAUUUGUCUUGGGAUAAGAUUUAAGGCCAGCAAAAUAAUCGCAAUGAUCAAAAGAAGCAUCCUCUCUUAUGGAAAAGGAGUCCUUAAACUGGAUUAGUGAAGAGCAGGAGUGAGAUCCUGAAGAAGAAAAAGAAGCAUAAAGAUGGAGAAAGAAGAGGAAUAGGGAGAGAAAGAGAUAGGAGGCCAUGUUAUGUUGGUAGAGGAAGAUGAAGGAUAGGAAUGGUAUUUAUAGGCAACAAAUAAUACCACAACAUUGGUGUUACAGUCUUUUUUCUUUUACAUUGAAAAGCUAUGGAUAUUAGAUUUUCAAAAUUUUUGUAUUUUUCACAAUCAUCAACAACCACUUUGUCUUCAUUUUACCAUAUAUUUUUCAUUCUUAAAAUUGGAUUAUUUUCUUUUAGCAAAAUCUUGUAUUUCAUUUGAACUCCCUAAACAACUAAAAAAUUAAGAUUGAUAAAAUUACAAAGUAGAUUGACUUAGUCUUCUUCCUUGUAACACGUAAAGAAUUUCCACGCAAAAGAACAAAAUUGUGCUCUAUUCUUUACGUUUGAGGAAGAAGACUGCUGGAAUUUUAAUCCACUGAUUCCAUAAAAACGUGUAUACUUAUAUAUAUAUAUAUUUAUAACCUCAUAAUUUAAAUCUAAAAUCUCAUUUGUUAUAAAUUCUGAUAAAUUUAUUUGGGAAUUGCUAUUUUUCAUUCGUUAAUUAUUUCUCUUUUAAUCGAGUAAAAAAUUAAAACUAAAGACAUAAUGAUUUAUUUGGUAUUUUUUAACUUCGCAAACGAAAAAUUAUUUUAGCUUUCUAUUUUUUUUUAUCUCUUUUAGUCUUGAAAUUUAUAUGGUUCAUUAAAUCACCCAAAAAAAUGAUGAAAAAAAUAACAAAACUAGCACCUACGUGGCUGAUGUUGACCCUUAAUAGUUAAUGGCAACACCUAUGUAGUUGUUAACAGAUACCACACCAACACUGUUUGUUGACGUGACAAUGCCACAUGAUCAAUAAUCGCAGACAUGGUAGCGCCACGCCAUCGCCCAUUGAUGACAUAUUAACCUUUGAGUUAAACUCAAAUAAUUUGGUCCCAAAUAGUUUUCAACACAAAAGAAUAGAGGAAGAAGACUGCUACAGGUUUAACUAUCAAUUGUCUAUUGACUAUACUUUUAACUCCACUAAAAAAGACCAAGACUAAGACUAUCAAUUGUCUAUUGACUACACUUUAACUCGACAAAAAAAGACCAAGACUAAGACUAUCAAUUGUCUAUUGGCUUCACACUUGCUGUUGCUUCCUCCUAUUUCUCUCACCCAAACUUAAUUUACAAGCAAUGUGGAAAUUUUGGACAUUUGCCCACAACGUACAAUACUUCCACACCAUUUGCAGUAUUGACUACGUUUACUUGAGGGAAAACAAAGACAUGAACGCUGGAAAUUUUAACUAGUUUGUACCGUCAAUGAAGCUACGUACCUAAAAGCCAUUUAGGAUAUCAAUUCCUGUAAUUGGAGUAAUCUCAUCGUUGCUGCAAUCUUUUGACAGUUUAAUCGAAUCUUAAAUAUGUUACUCUGCAAUGCUAUUGUAAAUAUUUUUCUUAAAUUUGUCGAUAGAUUUAUAGGUUUGGCACAAAAUUAAGAAUACACAAAGGCAGGUUGAAUUAUUCCAUGUUUGAACAUCUGCAACAUAAAUGCAUAUGGCAAAAGGGCUCAAACCAUACCUUAUGUUCAUGAAUUCUCAUCAUCACGUGUUUAUAAAUGCAACUCAAACUUCAAUAAUUGAAUCUUUUGUAAUUCUACAUGUAUUUUUUUAUUAUGGCGAGCAGUAUAAUGUUUACUAAAAAUUGAAAUUCAAGAAAGAAGACAUAUAUAGUUGCACCAUACAAGAUGUUACACUCGAACUAAACGCUUACAAAUAGUACGAAAUGCAAUUGAAUACAGAGGAAUUGGUACAAUCAUAAAAACAGACACAUACCAAUGCAACUUUUCACCAUAGGAAAAACUUUCUGACAGACUACUAAACAAGAAAUUAUGAAGACACAGUAGAAAUGCUUUAACUUCAUUUGCACCAACUAGAUCAUUCUUCAUCCACUCAUGCGAUUGCUAUAUUUUGGCUUUCUUCUUCGCCUCUUCUCAUGUUGGUCUUCAACCAAAUUCACGAACCUUUUCACCUUAUCGGUUUGGAAAACAACACAUCCCAUGGCCAUUCCAAACACUACCCCGGAUCCAUAACCUAUCAACACCACUUUCCAACCAAAAGCAAUGUUUGCUUUUGAGCCAUCCUUUUCCAGCACAUUUGGAGGUGGUGUCUCAUUGAUGCUGCAACCUUUGGAGACUGGAAAUCCACAUAGUCUCUGUUUCCUUCGUAUGAAUUGUUUCCAAAUGUAUUGAACUGUUUGCCUUGAGGAAUCUGACCAUGGAGUUGAUUUUCGGAAACGUUUAAUAAGGAAAGAAAUGCCGGAUCUGCCAAUAUCUCUGGAAUUAACUCAGUUCAAAAGACUAUAUAACUCGUAAAGUUUGGUCGAAGACUAGCAGGGGUCAAGAAAAAUAAUUACUUGAAUUGUCAAAAUUUUGGAUUUUAGAGAAACAAGCACUAGACUUGGAGCUAUGGUCAUGCAAGGAACCAUGCAUUUCAUUUGACUUUAGUACAAGAACUUGUAGCCGUGGAAGACUUCCCUACCAAUGAGGAAAUGUAUCAUUGAUCUUGUUGUUCCUAAGAUCUAGCACUUCCAAAGACCUAAAAUUGAGGAUGGAUGGUGACAAAUGCCAUUCAAAUUGAUUUCCAUUUAAGUUGAGAUUACUCAAUUGGCAUCCCUUUGCAAAUGUUGGAGGAAUCAAUCCAUAAAACUUGUUCUUCUUUAGAUUCAAAAAUUCCAGGUUGUUGCUCAAAUUUCCAAAACAUUGUAGAAUAGUUCCACUCAAUUUAUUGUGGGACAAGUCAAGAAUUUGGAGAGCACUCACAUUGCCUAUCAAAGAAGAGACCUCUCCACUUAAACUAUUGUUUGAAGUAAAAAACACGUUGAUUGUCGAAGAUGGGAUUGGAAGAUUUCCAUGGAUCAAAUUGGAGCUUAAGUCAAGAAUAUUAAUAUUCUUCCAUGGAAGUUGCUCAACUUCUGUCAAUGAAUUGUGAGAUAAAUUUAAGUAACUCAAAGAGUCACACGUCACUUCUUGCAGCCAUUGUGGAAUCUUCCCUUCAAUUCUAUUGUUAGAAAGCUCCAAAGUUUUCAACUUUUUUAACCCUUUCAAAAAUCGGGGGAAUUGGCUGACAUUAUUUGAGCUUAAGGAUAGGCUGUUUAGUGAAAGGUCAAGAUAUUCGAGAUUUGGGAGAUUUGAGAACAUGCCAAACUCUAUGACACCACUGAAAUUAUUUGAGUAUAAAAGGAGCCAGGUAAGGUUGAGAAAUUGGAAUAUUGAAGAUGGAAGAGGACCUUGGAGAUUAUUAUUCCCUAACACUAUCAUUCUAGUGAUUUGGAUUGGAAUUCUUUGAUGUGUCCACUGAAUUGAUUCUGAGAGAGAGAUAUUUCCAUUAAGGAGAAAGCAUUAUACAACCAUGACAGAAGUUUUCCAUUGGGUAAAUUGUUAGAUAAGUCUAAAGAUAUUAGAUUAGGGAAAGCAGCUACCUCAUCUGGAAUGGGACCUUCUAAAGAAUUUUCAGCUAUUCUCAAGUGUUCAAGCUGUGUUAGGUUUACAAUUGACAAUGGAACUUGUUCACUCAAUUGGUUCCAUGACAAGUCUAAAUAUAUGAGCCACAAGAGGUUCCCCAGAGAUCUCGAAAUUGAUCCCUGUAAAUUGGAAUUAGAGAGAGACAAAUAUUUCAAGACGUGCAGGUUGUCAAUCAAAUCAAUCAAUUUUGAAAAGGAGGACAUCCAUGACAGAUCCAAAUGUUCAAGAUUACUGCUCUGAUUGAACUUCAGAAGAUCAAGAAUCAGGUUUCGGUUGUAUCCUAAGUUGAGCAAAUUGAGGUUUGGCGAAUGAAGAACGUUUCUUGAGAAUUUUCCUUGCAAAUCACAACCACCAAGACUGAGAGACUUUAUAGAAGAGGAUAGAUUGAUGAAAACAUUAGGAUUAAUAGAAGGCAUGAUAAUUCUAUCAAGAAAAAGAUGUCUCACCUCAGUUAGGUUGUGAACAAGUCCCUUCAAAGAAUUUUAUCAAGUGUUAAUUGGUCAGAAAAAACAUUAUGAGAGAGAUCAAGUGAAACCAAUUUUGACGAGUGGGAGAUUUGGGAUGGGACUUUUCCUGCAAAUAACGUUUCUGAGAUGUUAAGAUACACCAGGCUUGUAAACCGGCCGAACUCGGAUGGAAUUUUGGAAAGAUUAAAAUCAUUGUAGGCAAGGUUGAAUUUUUGAAGGUGAGGAAGAAGGAAGAGAGUGGUAUUGGAAGGGAAGUUGCCAUAUAGACAACUGCAGCUCAAGUCAAGGGCAAUAUAUAACUUGAGCAUUUAGGUGGUCACAAGUGACCCCAUCCCAUGAGCAGCAAUCUGUACCCUCAUUCCAUGAAUUUGUCCUGGGAUAAGAUUUAUGGCCAUCAAUCUCAUUGCUAUAAGAAGAAGCAUACUCUGUUAUGGAAAAAGAGUCCUUAAACUGGAUUAGUGAAGAGCAGGAGUGAGAUCCUGAAGAAGAAAAAGAAGCAUAAAGAUGGGGAAAGGUUAAGGUAGAAUAGGCUUGUAAACCGACCGAACUCGGAUGAAAUUUUGGAAAGAUUAAAAUCAUUGAAGGCAAGGUUGAGUUUUUGAAGGUGAGGAAGAAGGAAGAGAGUGGUAUUGGAAGGGAAGUUGCCAUAUAGCCAACUGCAGCUCAAGUCAAGGGCAAUAACUUGAGCAUUAAGGUGAUGACAAGUGACCCCACACCAUGAGCAGCAAUCUGUACCCUCCUUCCAUGAAUUUGUCUUGGGAUAAGAUUUAAGGCCGGCAAAAUCAUCGCAACACAAAGCAGCAUGGCCUGUCUGAGUGAUCGAAAAUGAAUUCUUGAACUGGAUUAGAGAAGCAGCUUCGUGGUGAGAGCAGGAGUGAGAUCCUGAAGAAGAAGAAGCAUAAAGAUGGGGAAAGAAGAGGAAUAGGCAGAGAGAGAGAUAGGGGCCAUGUUAUGUUUGUAGAGGAAGAUGAAGGAUAGGAAUGGUAUUUAUAGGCAACAAAUAGAAUCCAAUAUUAAACAAAAGAUUUGAUGAUUAAUACCACAACACCACUGUUACAGUGUUGUUUCUUUUAUGGUAUAAAGAUUGUUAUUGGAAGAGUUUGAAAUGCUGACAUUGAAAACCUAUAUUUUUCAAUACUCAUCAACAACCACUUCCUUUUUACCAUAUCUUUUUCAUUCCCAAAAUUGGAUACAUUGUUUUACCAAAAUUUUGUAUUUCAUUUGAACUCCCUAAACAACUGAGAAAAUUAACAUUGAUGAGAUUACAAAGUAGAUUGACUUAGUCUUCUUCCUUAUAAUAGGUAAAAAAAAAAUGUGAGUGUCUAUUCACUUAUAAUAUUUCCAUGCUAGAGGUAGUUUUUGGAAAAUCUUUAAUUAAAUCUUAAUUUCAUUUUGUUAAAAUUUUAAACUGGGUUAUCGAAUUGGCUUCUGAUUGUAGGUUGAUCAAUGAUGGGCCGAUUUCUUCUUCUUCUUUUUUAAUUUUUUUAGGGUUAAUUUAUAAUAUACUGCUUAAUGUUGUUGAUUUAUUUUUCUGGUCAUCGUUUCAUCCGUUUGUUGAAGAUAACUGAAUUUUUAUUGGUUGUAAUUGGACUUGGGUUUUAGCCAAUGACUAUAAUCAAAGGGUUAAUUUAAGGUUCCAAUGAAUUGUUUGAAAAUUUUAUUAUUUUUCUUUUCAAUUAGUUGUUUUACAAGGAUUUAACUUAUAUUAGUCAAAUGAACUGGCUUUAAAAAAUGAACAAGAACGAAGAAAUUGGAUGGUUAACUGGACACUGGAAAGGGGGAAUGCUAAAAGUUGUAAAUGUUUUGAAUAUAGAGUUGUAUUCUUUUCAUGGCUUCAGAAAAAUGUAUGCAAUGUUUGGCCAGCGAUAAUGGACAAGUUUUUUUAAACCUCCAUGCCUUAGUCAUGCUUUCAUAAACAUGGGCAGCUAACACCGAGAAGUCUCAUUGAAUGUAGUAAGCGAUUUAAAAGUGAAGCUCAUAUGCGACCGGGGAUGGUUGAUUUGAGGUUUAAUUCUAGCUAGUAGAUUCUGUUGUUUGUUAAGCGUCUUUUUGGAGACAAAUGUCUGAGAUUGCUGGAAAAUGCUUCUUACCAUCAUAUUAAUGUGUAUUUGGGUUGCGUUUUCUUAGAGUUUUGGAUUCUUUGCAUCAUAUCAUAAAAUUGAGUUAGAUAUAACAUCUCAUUGUUAUCUGUUAAUUGUUUCACUUGGGACCAGGAGCAUGCUGGCAACUCAAUACAGCUGUAAAUGCAUAUUUCAGUGAGGGUGAUAGGUAUAUAUUUAUGAAUUAUCCUAAUAUUUUUUAUGAUAAGUAAUUCUAGGUUUAUAGCUUUAUUUGUUUGUUUGUUUUCUCGUGUUUCCUACAAAAAAAGGCCAACAUCAACCAUAGUUCCUGUAGAUGAUGCCAUGGAUAUAGAUGAUCCAAAUGAAGUAGUACCAAAUGGGCCAGUCCUUCCAUUUCUACCAUCAUCUAGAACAAACGAACAAUCGUCUCUUUUUCUGAAAUUUCCGGCGCGACGCCUGUGCGGGGGGCCUUGGCCGGAAUCUGGACUUAGUCCAGAGAGUUUUUUUUUCUUUCUUCUGUUUUUUUUUUUCAAUGUUCAAAUGAUUUUUUUUCUCAAAACACUAAUUUUUAUGCCCAGUGAAACGGCGCCGUUUUGGCUAAGCUCCAAAACACCCAAAACGACGUCGUUUCACUCGCCACCAACUUGAAUUUUAUAACUACUCCUAUGCCAACCAGCAAACCAUAACAGCGUACAUAAAAAAGAGGAUGCUGACUUACAAUUCCUUUCAUUUCACCAUAACCAAUCAAAUCCCUUGCAAUGCUGUUUGGAUCACAGCAGCUCAUCUUUCAAUCCUAGAUGGCUCCGCUAAUUUUUUGAAAGCAUACAUAAACUGUUAAAGAAAUAAAUGGAUAAAACAACUACAGGAUAGAAGGCUGAAAAAUUACAAAGUGCAAUGACCUUAUUGUUAAAAUUUCAACGCCCAUUCCUUGGAAAGAUAUCUUCACCAUUGCCCACUCAAGAGAACUCAAAUAGCAGCAAGAUCUAGUAUAAAAUGUAACUCUCAACAACACACACAAAUGUUUGUUCUAUCAAGGAGCAAUACACAGACAUAUUCACCUACCCUUGGUUCUAGCUUUGCAUAUUACAUAACACUCUUCAAAUGUCUUAUUAAAUUCUCACUUUUACGAGUGCUAUGAUAAUCAAAUAAAAUUCAAUUCAAUUUUAAGUUCCAUAUAACACUUACAUGGCUACAAAAUGUGUGUGUGUUUAAGUGUCGACAACCACAAACAAUCCAAAUUUGCAGAGAAACCACCCAUUAUAUAUAGGUUUGCCAAUGAGAUGGCAAGCAGAUUGCUAGCUAGAAAUUCAUGCAUCUUUGAAUCACCAGUUCAAUUAAUAAGCUUAAGUAGAGGAAAUAGGGACUUUACAUCCACCAAUUAAAGCAACCUAUAUGUACCCUUUUACAGUCUGCAUUGUUCCAUGUUUCAAUUCAUUACAUCAUUCCUUCAACUCUGCUAUAUAUUAUUACCGUCUCCAGAUAACCAAACCUUUUACUGCUAACUUGUAAAAAAAUUAUGAAAAUACAACAGAGAUCAUUGAGACAUUGUUGAAGUUGGCUUGCAUGCAGAGCAAGAAGCAGACCAAGCUGUCCGAGCCAUGCAAGUUGCAGCUGAAGCUUAUGCUGCUGUUUUGUUACUUUCAAAUAGAUAUUUUAUUACUUAGUUAGAUAUGAACUAAGUUGUUGAUAUGCUUGAUGUGAUUAGGUGCUGAUAGAUUGAUAAAUCAGCUUUACCAAGUGUACAAGCAAUGUUUAUCAAGUUACUAAGCCACUUAGUGGAGUUAGGCACGUGUUUAGGUAACAUUUUCUUAUUUUUGACCAGCUGAUUGCUCGGUAUAUGUAAUGGAAUUGUGCCUUCAUUUGGUCUUUACUUAAGCAUUUUUAUUCAAAAAGCUCUUGCUGUUUUUGUUUUGUUUGUUGUGCAAGAUAUCAAUGCUUUAUGCUUAAGUUUCUGUCAAAAUUUCUCAUUCUGUUUUCUUAGUUCCUACAGACAUUUUGUUCUCCUUUCUCCUUUACUGAGCAGUAGCAAAGAUUAUUGAGACUAAAUUGAAAUCCAUGAAAGAAGACAUAAACAACACCACCAUACAAAAUGUCACACUCAAACAAACCAUUACAGAUAGUACGAAAUGCAAUGAAAGACAGAGGAAUUGGUACAAUAAUAAAGACAGCCAGAUACCAAUGCAACCCUUCACCAUAGGCACAACGGUCUACAAACAAGAAAUUAUGAAAAAUACAACACUAAUUCUUGAACAUCAUUUGCAGUAAUUAGAUCCUUCUUCGUCUACUGCUGCGAUUGCCUUUCUUUGACUUUCUUCUUCGCCUCUUCUCAUGUUGGUUUUCAACCAAAUUCACCAACCAUUUUGGCUUUCCAGUUUGGAAAACAACAUAUCCCACGGACAUUCCGAACACUACUCCGCAUCCACAACCUAUCAUCACCACUUUCCAACCAAAAGCAAUGUUUGAUUUUGAGCCAUCUUUUUCAAGCACAUUUGGAGGUGGUGGGUCAAUGAUGUUGCAACCUUUCGAGACCGGAAACCCACACAGUCCCUUAUUUCCUUCAUAUGAAUCAUUUCCAAAUGUGUUGAAUUGUUUGCCUUGGGGAAUCUUACCAUGGAGUUGAUUUUCAGAAACAUUUAAGGACGAAAGAAACGGCAGAUCUGCCAAUCUAUUUGGAAUCGCCCCAGACAACCUGUUUGAAGAUAGGUCCAACCAUUCAAGACUUGUCAAAUUCCCUAUUGAUGUGGGGAUACCACCAUUAAGGUUAUUAUGAGAAAGGUUGAGCCCUUUCAGUAAGUUAAGCUUCCCAAUAACCUUUGGAAUACCCCCUUCAAACUGAUUGUUUGAUAGAUCAAUGAUCAUCCACAUGGUGAAAAUUUUCACCAAUUCCCUAUCUUGUCCUUUCAUAACAAUUCCAAUGGAAUAGGUAUAGAAGUCACCUCCAUCAUCAUUCACCCCCAUGUACGACACUGUACUACCAAUCUUCUCUAGAUUUAUGAUAGCCUUGAAGCUGUUGAUGUAUCUCACUGGUAGGGGUCCAGAAAAAUAAUUACUUGAGAGAUCAAAAAUUUGGAUUUUAGAGAAAAAAGGGAUAGACUUGGAGCUAUUGACACAUAAGGAACCAUGCAAUUGAUUUGACUUCAAUACAAGAACUUGUAGCCGUGGAAGACUUCCCAACCAAUGAGGAAAUGUAUCAUUGAUCUUGUUGUUACCAAGAUCUAGCACUUCCAGACCAUUACAAUUAAGGAUGGAUGGUGUCAAAGGCCCUUCUAACAGAUUUCCAUUUAAGUUGAAAUUACUCAAUUGGCAUCCCAUUGCAAAUGUUGGAGGAAUCGUCCCAUAGAACUUGUUCUUCUUCAGAUUCAAGAAUAGAAGGCUGUUGCUCAAAUUUCCAAAACAUUGUGGAAUUGUUCCACUCAAGUUAUUGUGGGACAAAUCAAGAAUUUCAAGAAAAGCGGCAUUGCAUAUUAAAGAAGAGACCUCUCCAUUGAAACUAUUAUUAGAGAUCAAAAAGACAUUGAUGGUCGAAGCUGGAAUCGGAAGAUUUCCACUGAUCAAAUUGGAGCUUAAGUCAAGAACGUCAAUAUUCUUCCAUGGAAAGUGCUCAACUUCUGUCAAAGAGUUGUGAGAUACGUUUAAGUAAGUCAAAGAGUCAUUCCCCACCUCUUGCAUCCACUGUGGAAUCUUGCCUUCAAUUUUGUUGUAAGAGAGGUCUAAGCUUUCCAAACUUUUAAGCCCUUUUAAAAAUUGGGGGAAUUCACUAAGAUUGCAAGAUGACAAAAACAACCUUGUAAGAUUAACAGUAGAAGUAGUAUUAGAUGUUAAGGAUAGGCUGUUAUAUGAAAGGUCAAGAGAUUCGAGAUUUGGAAGGUUUGAGAACAUGCGAAACUCUAUGACACCACUAAGAUAAUUUGAGGAUAAGCUAAGUUGGGUAAGAUUGAGAAGUUGGAAUAUUGAAGAUGGAAGAGGACCUUGGAGUUUAUUAUUCUCUAACGCUAUCCAUUCUAGUGAUUUGGAUUGGAAUUCUUUGAUAUGCCCACUGAAUUGAUUUUGAGAGAGUUUUAUAUCCUUUAAGGAGGGAGCAGUAUACAACCAUGAUGGAAGUUGUCCACUGAGUAAAUUGUUAGUUAAGUCUAAAGAUAUUAGAUUAGGAAAAGCGGUUACCUCAUCUGGAAUAGAACCUUUUAAUGUAUUUCCAGCUAUUCUCAAGUAUUCCAGCUGCGUUAGGUUUAGAAUUGACAAUGGAAUUUGUCCAUUCAAUUGGUUCUGCCACAAGCCUAAAUAAGUGAGUUGCAAGAGGUUCCCCAAUGAUCUUGGAAUUUGUCCACUCAAUUGGUUUUGCCACAAGCCUAAAUAAGUGAGUUGCAAGAGGUUCCCCAAUGAUCUUGGAAUUUGUCCACUCAACUGGUUCCCCGAUAAGUCUAAAUGAGUGAGUUGCAAGAGAUUCCCCAGUGAUUUUGGAACCGGUCCUGAUAAGUUGGAAUAGGAGAGAUCUAAAAACUUCAAGGACACAAGAUUACCCACCGAGUCUGGCAAUCCUCCAAAAAAAUUUGCGCCUGAAAUUAUCAAUUGCUCCAAAGAUGAUAAAUUUGUGAUUGAGACAGACAAUCCUUGAAAGAAAAAAUUUCCUGAUAGACCUAAGGACUUUAAGGCCUGUAGAUUAUCAACUGAAUCAAUGAAUUCUGUAGAGAAGGACGUCCAUGACAGAUCCAAAUGUUCAAGAUUGCUGCUCCGAUUCAACUUCAAAGGAUCAAGAUUGAGGUUUUGGUUGUUUCCCAAGUUGAGGAGAUUGAGGUUUGGCAAAUCAAAAAUGUUGUUUGGGAAUUUUCCUUGCAAAUCACAACCAGCAAGACUGAGAGACCUUAGAGAAGAGGAUAGAUUCAUGAAGACAUGAGCAUUAACAGAAGCCAUCUCCAUUCCAUCCAAAAACAGAUGUCUGACCUCGGUUAGGUUUUGAACAAGUCCCUCCAGAGCAUGUUUGUCUCCUACAAACCCUGUACUGGAAAGGUCGAGGUAGAGUAGGCUUGUAAACCGACCUAACUCGGAUGGAAUUUCGGAAAGAUUAAACUCAUUGUAGGCAAGGUUGAGUUUUUGAAGGUGAGGAAGAAGGAAGAGAGUGGAAUUGGAAGGGAAGUUGCCAUAUAGCCAACUGCAGCUCAAGUCAAGGGCAAUAACAUGAGCAUUUAGGUGGUCACAAGUGACCCCAUCCCAUGAGCAGCAAUCUGUACCCUCCUUCCAUGAAUUUGUCUUGGGAUAAGAUUUAUGGCCAGCAAUCUCAUUGCAAUAAGAAGAAGCGUCCUCUGUUAUGGAAAAAGAGUCCUUAAACUGGAUUAGUGAAGAGCAGGAGUGAGAUCCAGAAGAAGAAAAAGAAGCAUAAAGAUGGGGAAAGAAGAGGAAUAGGCAGAGGAAGAGAUAGGGGGCCAUGUUAUGUCUGUAGAGGAAGAUGAAGGAUAGGAAUGGUAUUUAUAGGCAACAAAUAAUACCGCAGUGUUACAGUCUUUUUUUCUUUUACAUUGAGAAGCUAUGGAGAUUAGAUUUUCAAAAUUUUUGUAUUUUUAACAAUCAUCAACAGUCACUUAGUCUUCUUUUUACCAUAUAUUUUUCAUUCUUAAAAUUGGAUGCUAUCUUUUCGCAAAAUCUUGUGGAAAUUCUUUAGCCUUCUUCUCUAUAACACUUAAAGAAUGUGUGUAUGUAUUCAUUUGCCUGUCAACUAAAGCUAAUUAAUGUGGAAAUUCUUUUCCACCCAAAAGAACAAAAUUGUGCUCUAUUCAUUAAGUUUGAGGAAGAAGAUUGCUGGAAAUUUAAUCUACCGAUUCCAUAAAAAACGUGUAUACUUAUAUAACCUCAUAAUUCAAAUCUAAAAUCUCAUUUGUUAUAAAUUCUGAUAAAUUUCUUUGGAAUUGCUAUUUUUCAUUUGUUAAUUAUUUCUCUUUUAAUCGAGUAAAAAAUUAAAACUAAAAAGACAUAAUGAUUUAUUUGGCAUUUUUAAACUUUACAAAUAAAAAAUCAUUUUAGCUUUUCAUUUUUUUAUCUCUAUUAAAUCACCCAAAAAAAAUAAUGAAAAAGACUAACAAAACUAGCACCUACGUGGCUGAUGUUGACCCUUAGUAGUUAAUGACAACAUCUACGUAGUUGUUAACAGAUACCACACUAACACUGUUUGUUGACGUGACAAUGCCACAUGAUCAAUAAUCACCGACAUGGUAGCGCCACGCUAUCGCCCAUUGGUGACAUAUUGAUGUUUGAGUUAAACUCAAAUUACUAUUUCCUUUGUUAUAAAUUAAGAGUAUAACUAAUUUUGAUAAGAAUGAUUACUUUUCAUUAACUCAGUCUAAAGGACUAUAACACGUAAAGUUUGGCCUAUUGCAGAAUUCACAUGCAAUGCGGGGCAUUUACAUUAUGCAGAAUUCGGCACAUAUAUGGGAAUUUUUGUAUUUCCACAAUCAUCAUGUUGUUCGUGAUCAACAACUACUUCCUUUUUACCAUAUAUUUUUCAUUCAUAAAAUUGAUUACUUUUUUUUUUACGAAAGAAGUAAAAUUAUUAACAUUCAUGAUAUUACAAAGCCUUCUUCCUUAUAACACGUCAAGUUUGGCCCCAAAUAAUUUUCCAGACAAAAGAAUUAAGAGGAAGGAGACUGCUACAGAUUGACUAUACUUUUAACUCCACAAACAAAGACUAAGACUAUCAAUUGUCUAUUGACUACACUUUAACUCGACAAAAACAGAUUGACUAUACUUUUAACUCCACAAACAAAGACUAAGACUAUCAAUUGUCUAUUGACUUCACUUUAACUCGACAAAAACAGACUAAUAAGACUUUGGUUGGCUGUAAUGGGCUAUUGACUAUACUUUAACUCCGCAAAAAAAGACUAAGGCUAUCAAUUGUCUAUUGACUUCACACUUGCUGUUGCUUCCUCCUAUCUCUAUCACUUGCUUCCUCCUAUCUCUAUCACCCAAACUUAAUUUACAAGCAAUGUGGAAAUUUUGGACAUUUGGGCCACAAUGUACAAUACUUCCACACCAUUUGCAGUAUUGACUACGUUUACUUGAGGGCAAACAAAGACAUGAAUGCUGGAAAUUUUAACUAGUUUGUACCGUCAAUGAAGCUACGUACCUAAAAGCAAUGUAUUAUCACCGUCUCCAGAAAUUUUGCUAAUUCAAUUUCCCAAGAAAUAUGAUUAAUUUUGGUUAAAUUGGAGUGAACAUUACUAUUUCUGUUUUAGCAAUUAAAGCAACCUAUAUGUACCCUUUUACAGUCUGCAUUGUUCCAUGUUUCCAUUCAUUACAUCAUUCCUUCAACUCUGCUAUAUAUUAUCACCGUCUCCAGAGAACCAAACCUUUUACUGCUAACUUGUAAAAAAAUUAUGAAAAUACAACAGAGAUUAUUGAGACAUUGUUGAAGUUGGCUUGCAUGCAGUAGACAUUGUUAAUCUUAUUAUUAUUAUUAUUAUUAUUAACUCAUGAACCCAUGGUUACACUUCCAACAGAGGUGAGAGAGGUUAAGAGUAGCCAUGAGCCAUCUAGUCAUGCUCCUGUUGUUGAGGAUGCCUCUGAAACUGCACAAGCUCUCAGCCCGAAUUCAAAUCUAAAAUCUCAUUUGUUAUAAAUUCUGAUAAAUUUAUUUGGGAAUUGCUAUUUUUCAUUCGUUAAUUAUUUCUCUUUUAAUCGAGUAAAAAAUUAAAACUAAAAAGACAUGAUAAUUUACUUGGCAUUUUUUAACUUUACAAACAAAUAGUCAUUUUAGCUUUCCAUUUUUUUUUUCUCUUUUAGCCUUGAAACUUAUAUGGUUCCUUAAAUCACUCCAAAAAAAAUGAUGAAAAAGACUAACAAAUUCUAGCACCUACGUGGCUGAUGUUGACCCUAGUAGUUAAUGGCAACACCUACGUAGUGGUUAACAGAUACCACACCAACACUGUUUGUUGACGUGACAAUGCCAAAUGGUCAAUAAUCGCUGACAUGGUAGCGCCACGCCAUCGCCCAUUGAUGACAUGUUAACCUUUGAGUUAAACUCAAAUUACUCUUUCCUUUGUUAUAAAUUAAGAGUAUAAAUAAUUCUGAUAAGAAUAGUUACUUUUCAUUAACUCAGUUUAAAGGACUAUAACACGUAAAGUUUGGUCUAUUGCAGAAUUCACAUGCCAUGCGGGACGUUUACAUUAUGCAGAAUUCAACACAUAUAUGGGAAUUUUUGUAUUUCCACAAUCAUCAAAUAAUUUUCAUAAAUUGAUUACUUUCUUUUUACCAUAUAAUUUUCAUUCAUAAAUUGAUUACUUUUUUUUUACAAAAGAAGUAAAAUAAUUAAUAUUCGUGAGAUUACAAAGUCUUCUUCCUUAUACACGUCAAGUUUGGUCUCAAAUAAUUUUCCACACAAAAGAAUACUUUUAACAAUCAAUUGUCUAUUGACUAUACUUUGAACUCCACAAAAAAGACUAAGACCUUCAAUUGUCUAUUGACUACACUUUAACUCGACAAAAAAAGACUAAGACUAUCAAUUGUCUAUUGACUAUCAAUUGGUUCCAUGACAAGUCUAAAUAUAUGAGCCACAAGAGGUUCCCCAAUGAUCUCGAAAUUGAUCCCCGUAAAUUGGAAUUAGAGAGAGACAAAUAUUUCAAGACAUGCAGGUUGUCAAUCAAAUCAAUCAAUUUCGUAAAGGAGGACAUCCAUGACAGAUCCAAAUGUUCAAAAUUACUGCUCUGAUUGAACUUCAGAAGAUCAAGACUAAGGAUUCGGUUGUAUCCUAAGUUGAGCAAAUUGAGGUUUGGCGAAUGAAGAAUGUUUCUUGAGAACUUUCCUUGCAAAUCACAACCACCAAGACUGAGAGACUUUAUAGAAGAGGAUAGAUUCAUGAAAACAUUAGGAUUAAUAGAAGGCAUGAUAAUUCUAACAAGAAAAAGAUGUGUCACCUCAGUUAGGUUGUGAACAAGUCCCUCCAAAGAAUUUUAUCAAGAGUUAAUUGGUGAGAAAAAACAUUAUGAGAGAGAUCAAGUGAAACCAAAUUUGACGAGUGGGAGAUUUGGGAUGGGACUUUUCCUGUAAAUAACGUUUUUUAGAUGUUAAGAUACACCAGCCUUGUAAACCGACCGAACUAGGAUGGAAUUUUGGAAAGAUUAAAAUCAUUGUAGGCAAGGUUGAGUUUUUGAAGGUGAGGAAGGAGGAAGAGAGUGGUAUUGGAAGGGAAGUUGCCAUAUAGCCAACUGCAGCUCAAGUCAAGGGCAAUAACAUGAGCAUUAAGGUGAUGACAAGUGACCCCAUACCAUGAGCAGCAAUCUGUACCCUCCUUCCAUGAAUUUGUCUUGGGAUAAGAUUUAAGGCCGUCAAAAUCAUCGCAAUACAAAGCAGCAUGGUCUGUCUGAGUGAUCGAAAAUGAAUUCUUGAACUGGAUUAGAGAAGCAGCUUCGUGGUGAGAGCAGGAGUGAGAUCCUGAAGAAGAAGAAGCAUAAAGAUGGGGAAAGAAGAGGAAUAGGCAGAGAGAGAGAUAGGGGCCAUGUUAUGUUUGUAGAGGAAGAUGAAGGAUAGGAAUGGUAUUUAUAGGCAACAAAUAGAAUCCAAUAUUAAACAAAAGCUUUGAUGAUUAAUACCACAACACCACUGUUACAGUGUUGUUUCUUUUAUGGUAUAAAGAUUGUUAUUGGAAGAGUUUGAAAUGCUGACAUUGAAAACCUAUAUUUUUCAAUACUCAUCAACAACCACUUCCUUUUUACCAUAUCUUUUUCAUUCCCAAAAUUGGAUACAUUGUUUUACCAAAAUUUUGUAUUUCAUUUGAACUCCCUAAACAACUGAGAAAAUUAACAUUGAUGAGAUUACAAAAUAGAUUGACUUAGUCUUCUUCCUUAUAAUACGUAAAAAAAAAUGUGAGUGUCUAUUCACUUAUAAUAUUUCCAUGCUAGAGGUAGUUUUUGGAAAAUCUUUAAUUAAACCUUAAUUUCAUUUUGUUAAAAUUUUUAACUGGAUUAUCGAAUUGGCUUCUGAUUGUAGGUUGAUCAAUGAUGGGCUGAUUUCUUCUUCUUCUUUUUUAAUUUUUUUAGGGUUUAUAAUAUACUGCUUAAUGUUGUUGAUUUAUUUUUCUGAUCAUCGUUUCAUUCGUUUGUUGAAGAUAACUGAAUUUUUAUUGGUUGUAAUUGGACUUGGGUUUUAGCCAAUGACUAUAAUCAAAGGGUUAAUUUAAGGUUCGAAUGAAUUAUUUGAAAAUUUUAUUAUUUUUCUUUUCAAUUAGUUGUUUUACAAGGAUUUAACUUAUAUUAGUCAAAUGAACUGGGUUUAAAAAAUGAACAAGAACGAAGAAAUUGGAUGGUUGACUGGACACUGGAAAGGGGAAAAGCUAAAAGUUGUAAAUGUUUUGAAUAUAGAGUUGUAUUCUUUUCAUGGCUUCAGAAAAAUGUAUGCAAUGUUUGGCCAGCGAUAAUGGACAAGUUUUUUUAAACCUCCAUGCCUAAGUCAUGCUUUCAUAAACAUGGGCAGCUAACACCGAGAAGUCAGUAAGCGAUUUAAAAGUGAAGCUCAUAUGCGUCAUUGCUACUCGCUUUGCAGCUAAACUCCUGAGUGACCGGGGAUGGUUGAUUUGAGGUUUAAUUCUAGCUAGUAGAUUCUUAGGUUUGUUAAGGGUCUUUUUGGAGACAAAUGUCUGAGAUUGCUGGAAAAUGCUUCUUACCAUCAUAUUAAUGUCUAUUCGGGUUGCGUUUUCUUAGAGUUUUGGAUUCUUUGCAUCUUAUCAUAAAAUUGAGUUAGAUAUAACAUGUCAUUGUUAUCUGUUAAUUGUUUCACUUGGGACCAGGAGCAUGGUGGCAACUCAAUACAGCUGUAAAUGCAUAUUUCAGCGAGGGUGAUAGGUAUAUAUUUAUGAAUUAUGCUAAUAUUUUGUUAUGAUAAGUAAUUCUAGGUUUAUAGCUUUAUUGGUUUGUUUGUUUUCUCAUGUUUCCUACAAAAAUAAGGCCAACAUCAACCAUAGUUUCUGUAGAUUAUGCCAUGGAUAUAAAUGAUCCAAAUGAAGUUGUACCAAAUGGGCCAGUCCCUUCCAUUUCUACCAUCAUCUAGAACAAACGAACAAUCGUCUCUUCAUCAUCGAAACUUCCAUAGCAGUUUCUUCGAUGGUGAUUCUGGUUCAACUUAUGAACCAAUUGAUACAUAUCCAACAGAGGUGAGAGGGGUUAAGUAUAGCCAUGAGCCAUCUAGUCAUGCUCCUGUUGUUGAGGAUGCCUCUGAAACUGCACAAGCUCUCGGCCCGAAUUCCCAUGAGACUGUUACAAUUGGUGAAGUAGGUGACGAUUCAAUUGCGCAGCCAAGGUGGCAGAAUGAUAACUGUAACAACCAGCAUGUUACACCCAGCGCUCCUGCCUUUGAUAAUUUGCUAGACUAUGGCGAUGACAUUGAAGAACAAAUGAUUCAAGCUGCCAUUGAGGCCUCUAAGCGGGAUGCUGAGGCAAGUUUUAAAAAAAGGACGCUUCCAAUUUGAUAGUGUUGUGGUGCCCUUCAUUCUUGUAGUUGCUGUAAAUGCUUGUUUUACAGAUUGCCUUUUUCAUGUUUAAAGUGUUAAAGUGUUGCAAAUUGAAGUGUUUUAAGUAAUGCAAAUUGAAUUGUUUAGUUGCUGGAAAUUGAGAUGUUUUAUGGCCGUAAUUGAGUGUAUAAAUGUUGUAAAUUGAAGUGUUUUAUUGCUGGAAAUUGGAUGCAUGGUAUAAUGACAUGAUAGAAUGUCAUUACAAUGUUGUAACUUUUUGAUGUUGUAAAAUCAUAUGGAUUAUGACAUCUAAACUAAUGAAAUCGUGUAACUUUUUAUUAAUAUAUGAAUAUUAUGUUGGGAUGUGAAAUAUAAUUCUCAAGUUAUUUAUUACUUCUAAUAUCUAAUAUUUCAUUGUAGAAUAAUUAAAAUUAUUUGUUUCACUAAUGAUAUUUUAGCACAUUCAAUAUCUAUUGCAGUUUAAAAAUAAUAAUUUAGAUUAUAUAUUAUUUUUAUAGUAUUAUAUAUUAUGAUUUUAGUAAAUUCAUAUAAUAGUAAUUAUAUUAAGAAUUUUAUUAAAUUAUAUUUAAUAAUAAUUAUGUUAAAAUAUGGUUAAAUUAUUUAUUAUCUUUAUUAAAUUAUUUUUAAUAAUAAUCUUUUUAAAAUUUAAUAACAAUAACAAAAAUCAUCUACUUAAAAAAGAUUCUGCUAAGGGUAUUCUAGUCAUUUUAGUUUUUUCCUUAUGCAAUUACAACAUCAUUCCAUUCAACCAAACACAAGAAUACCAUUACAGUUCUAUUCCGUUCCAUUCAACCAAACAAUUGAAUUACUGAUUACAGCUCUAUUCCAUUACAGUGAACCAAAUAUAUCCUUAGUAUGAAUGGCUGUCGAGGCAUGUAGAAAUUUGCACACAAAAGAACAAAAUUGUGCACUACUUAAAACUUCAAAGCAUGUGUGGCCUUAAUUUAAUUUUUCAUCUUUUUUAGCCCUUAAACCUACAUUGUUUAUCAGAUGAAAAAAUUAAUAUCUAUUAACUUUGCUAAUGUGCAAGCAUAUGCAACUUCUUUUAAAUCUAAAAAAUAUAAAAAUAAUUAAAUAUGUAUAAAUCUAAAGAUAUCUUAAACUUAAAACUAAAAUUUUUUAAACUAAUGCAAAUUUUUAUUAUUUAAAAAAUCUUAAAAUUUUCAAAUUAAAUUCCAUUUGUUUUCCACCGUUGAAGAACACCUUUAAUCACAACUUCAUGCUGUAUUGCCUAGAAAUUGUUUUGCAAAUUUAUUUUGUUUUAUUUAUUUCUAAACCCAUAUUUCUUUUCUAUAACUCCAAUUAUUAGAUUGUUUAGGGUUUUGAGUAACUUUCGAUUUUGGAAUUUUAGAUUUUUUAAAUUUAAAUAUGAAGUGCUCUUCUUCUUCUCCAAACCCACAAAUUUUUCUGCCAAAUUUCUACUCAAGGUUUUACUUUCAGCUAUAAAUAAAGCGUAUAUUAUAUUUAUAAUGAUCUAAGAAUAGUAGAGUCGAUGCCGAUCUACAUGAAAAAGGAUGAAAAAAAAAGGCAAAGAAUGAUAAUAUGAAGAGAGCAUAAAUCAAUAAAGCAAAUGAAAAACGAGCAGGAUUAAAGUAAAUGGGUAUUUAAUAUUUUUUUGUGAAAGUUCAAAGACUGAUUAUUUAUAAAAUUGGAUGUGGAAAAAUUAGUUGGAAUUUUUUUUCUUACACCAAUUGAUUUUUUAUAUAAAAUUUUUAUUUAUUUUUAAGUGUUGAAACCACUUUUUGAAAACAAAAAAAAAGUGUUACUUUUAUUUUGAAAACGGAAACGAAAAAAUGGGAGUCGCCACCGAUAUUUUUUUUGAGGUGUGAUCGGAUCACCUUAAAACAAUUUUGGUCUACGAAUAAAAAAAUGGGUCCGGGAGUCAAUUACGUAGGAGGAAGGAUUAGCACCCUCAUAACGCCCAAAAUUGAUACCGAAUUGCAUAAUUAAUGUCUUAAAGUCGAAUGUCGAAAAUUCAAAAAGAUUAAAAAUGAUCCCCUUUAAUUAAUGACAUAUUUUUAAACAAUAUUUGUAUAAAUUUGAUCAUAUGUAGAAAGGUCUUCUCAUCCUGAGUCAACAAAAUGUCGUAUCCCAUAAGUUAGGAUGCGACAUUUAGAUUUCCGAGCAUAAUCUAGCCUUUAAAACCCUUUAUUGAAACUUUAUGUAUUUGAAAACUAAAAAUGUUUGACCAUCUUGGUUCAAUGAGGAAAUCGAAAACCCGUAAGUUAGGACAAAUUUCCUCAAAGUUCCAAAGACGAUAUAUACGUUUGCCUUUAUUUAAAAAAAAAAGAUACUCGGUUACUUAAAUUCAACGAGGAAAAUUGGAGCCUAAUAAGUUAGGGCACAAUCUUCUCGAAAAUAUUGGAUACCGGGUAUUACGUUAUUUUGAAAACUUUGAAUAAAAUGAUUUCAAUACUUUGACUAAACGCAACAUUUUAAAUGAAUAAAAUGCGAUGGAACAAUAACGUAUAACGCGAAGUGAUAAUUCGUAAACUAAAAUAUACGCUAAUGAUCGACAAAGAAUCAAUGAAUACGAGUAAGCAAUACAAUACAUCAUAUAAGAGCAACAAUCUCAUAUCCCACAUUAUGCAAAUACUAACAUCCAUUUUAGCAAGCUAAAUGAAUUAAAAGUUAAUUAAAGAACAGCAAGCAAAUUAAUGUAAAUCUAAUAUAACAAGCUUUAAAAUAAAAUAAAAAUAAAAAUCAUGAAAAAGAGGAAAAUUCAAACACUAAAUUGUAUGUAUAAAAUAUUUGGCACAAAUAAUAUAUAGGAAAACUUGCAAUAAAAAAAUGAAGAAAAUAAAGAAUAAAUAAGAUGCAAAAUAAUACAUGUUCAUCUAAAUAAGUAGUACAUAUAAAAUAAAAUUUUAAUAUAAAUGUUGAAAUAAACAAAGCGUGUAAUUGAACAUCAUUUCCACUAACUAGAUCCUUCUUCGUCAACUGCUGCGAUUGCCUUUCUUUGACUUUCUUUUUCGCCUCUUCUCAUGUUGGUUUUCAACCAAAUUCACCAACCAUUUCGGUUUUCCAGUUUGGAAAACAACAUAUCCCACCAACAUUCCGAACACUACUCCGCAUCCAUAACCUAUCAACACCACUUUCCAACCAAAAGUAAUGUUUGAUUUUGAGCCAUCUUUUUCAAGCACAUCUGGAGGUGUUGGCGCAAUGAUGUUGCAACCUUUCGAGACCGGAAACCCACAUAUGAAUCAUUUCCAAAUGUGUUGAAUUGUUUGCCUUGAGGAAUCUGACCAUGGAGUUGAUUUUCAGAAACAUUUAAGGACAAAAGAAAUGGCAGAUCUACCAAUCUAUUUGGAAUGGUUCCAGACAACCUGUUUGAAGAUAGUGUUGGCACAUAAUUAAAUUAACCUUGCACAAAUAAAUUAUGAAAAGUUAGAAGAGUGAAGAGACUUGAAUAUGAAAAGUGAAAAAACUUGAAUAUGAAUAGUGAAGAGACUUGAAGAUGAAAAGUUAAGAGGCUUGAAUAUGAAAAGAUACACACAUGCAUGAAUAGUCACAACUCCUAGCAUAUAGUGAUAUAGAUGAAUAGUCACUUACAACUCCUAUAUAAAGAGUUGUAUGUGAUGAAGAAUUAUUAACUUUGUGUGCUUGAAAUAAAAGAUUAUUUGAAAGAAUUUUUUCAUACAAAAUUUAUUUCUCUUCUCCAUUAUAUUCUUUAUCAUUUUCUUUGUUUUAUUUCUCCAAAUAUUAAUCAUUCAACUACAAAUUGGUAUCAAAGCCUUGUUCAAUCGAAAUGAACAAUUCUAUUCCUCUUUCUUCCGUUCCCCAAUUAACCAAAGAAAAUUAUGGCAAAUGGAGUAUCCAAAUGAAGGCUCUUCUUGGAUCUCUAGAAGUUUGGGAGAUUGUUGAAAAAGGUUAUAAUGAAGUUGAGGGUGAAGAGGAGGAAGGAUUAACACAAGUUCAAAAAGAGAGUCUAAGAAAAUCAAGGAAGAAAAAUCAGCAAGCCUUAUUUUGGAUAUAUCAAGGAGUUCAAUCAUAUGAAGCGGCUUGGGAAAAAAUAGCUUGUGCCACCACGGCAAAACAAGCAUGGGAAUUUUUACAAAAUUCAUUCAAAGGAGAUGAAAAGGUGAAAAGAGUUCGGUUGCAAACUCUUUGAGGAGAGUUUGAAAGAUUGCAAAAAAUAGAGUCAGAAUCAGUUUCUGAUUACUGUUCACGGGUUUUGUCCAUAGUCAAUCAAUUAAAAAGAAAUGGUGAAACUAUGGAUGAUAUUCGUGGUGUUGAGAAAAUCCUCCGUUCUUUAGAUUCCAAAUUUGACUACAUUGUGGUUGCCAUAGAAGAAUCAAAGGACUUGAGUACCAUGACUAUUGAUGAACUCACAGGUUCGUUGCAAGCCCAUGAAGAAAGAUUAAACAAGAAGAAAAAGGAAGUAGAUCUAGAUCAAGCACUUCAGUCAAAGUUGUCUCUAAAUGAGAAUAAGGGAGAUUUUAAAAAUCAAAGAGGGAGAGAUCGUGGUCGUGGAAGAGGAAGAAAUUUUAGAGGAAGAGGCUCAAAUGCUCGUGAAAGAGGUGAAGAUGUAAGCAUGGAGAAUGGAUGGAAAGAAGCCAACCAAAGUCAAAAUUUUAGAGGAUCACAAAGAGGACGUGGACGUAGAAAUCAAAGAGGAAGAGGUCGUGGCUAUUUUGAAUGUUAUAAUUGUCGCAAACCUGGUCAUUUGGCAAGUGAAUGCUGGUACAAAGAAGAAGAGAAAAAUGAAGCUAAUAUAGUACAAAAUAAUCAAGAGCAAAAGCAAGAAACUUUGUUGCUCGUAUCUCAUGGUGGAGAGAUUGAUGAUGUCUGGUACAUAGACAGUGGUGCUAGCAAGCAUAUGACAGGUAACAAAAAUUUAUUUUCGAAGUUCUUUGAAUCUGAUUGUGGAGAAGUAAAAGUAGGAGAUGGCAAAGCUUACAAAGUUAGCGGUGUUGGUGAGUUGGAGUUCAAAACAAAGCAAGGAAGGGUAGAGAAAAUGUCUGAAGUUUAUUUUGUUCCUGGUCUUAAAAAUAAUCUGCUUAGCGUUGGGCAUCUCUUGAAGAAGGGGUAUGAUAUUCAUUUCCGAGACAUGGCUUGCUAUUUAUCAAAGAAAAAUCAGGUUGUUGCUAGAGUUGGAGUGGCAUCAAAUAAUCUUUUCUCUCUUACCCUUCAAAAUCAGAAUAUGUCUUGUUUUAUUGGUGCUCAUAAAGGAAUUUCAAAGUUAUGGCAUGAUAGAUAUGGACAUUUAAACUAUGGAAAUUUGGAGAUGCUUUCAAGGAAGAUGAUGGUUAGAGGUUUACCAAAAAUCGAUCGGCUUGAUGAUGUUUGUGAAGCAUGUCAACUUGGAAAGCAACAUAAAAUUGCUUUUCCUUCUCAAUCCUCGUGGAAAGCAAGAAGACCAUUGCAACUUAUUCACUCAAAUCUUUGUGGUCCAAUGACAGUUUCAUCUUUAGGAGGUAAUCGUUACUUUAUCUCUUUCAUUGAUGAUUACUCAAGAAAGUUAUGGGUGUAUUGUGUCAAAGAAAAAUCAGAGGCUUUUCAGAGAUUCAAAGAUUUCAAGGCAGAAGUGGAGAACUUUACUGGGUUGAAAAUUAACACCUUGCGUACAGAUCGUGGAGGUGAAUAUUUUUCAAAAGAAUUUGAGAAAUAUUGCCGAGAUAGUGGCAUCCGGCAUGAAAUGACAGUCCGCCAUACACCUCAGCAAAAUGGUGUGUGUGAAAGAAAGAACAGAACAAUUAUGGAAAUGGCUAGAUGUCUUCUUAAUAAGAAGAGGUUAUCAAGAAGAUUUUGGGCUGAAGUUGUUUCCUGUGCAGUUUAUCUUAUAAACAGAUCACCGACAAGAAGCUUGGAGAAUUACACACCACAUGAGGCGUGGUAUGGUAUAAAGCCUAGUGUUAGUCAUCUUAGAGUAUUUGGGAGUGUUGCCUACUCUCUAUUCCAGAUGCAAUGAGAAGCAAGUUGGAUGACAAGUCAGAGAAAUGCAUUUUUAUUGGCUAUAGUGAAAGAAGUAAGGCAUACAAGUUGUAUAAUCCGGUGACAAAGAAGAUUGUGAUAAGCCGAGAUGUUCGGUUUGAUGAAAAUUCCAUGUUUGAAGAUAUGGAAGUUGAAAAGGAAAAUUUGCCAAUUUUUCCUUUUGAACUUGAAGAAGAAGAAGAGGCAGUAAUUGAGAAUGCUGAAGAUGAUGCUCAAGUAGAAAAUCCUCCUGCUUCCCCAUGUUCUUCAUCAAAUUCUUCUUCAUCCAGCCCGAUCCGAAAAACGAGAAGCAUCCAAGAGUUAUAUGAUGUAACGGAUGAAGUUGUGCAAAAUGAUGCUGUAUUCUUUGCCUUCUUUGCAGGAGAAGAUCCAAUUUCUUUUGAUGAUGCAUAUCAAGAAGAAAUAUGGAGGAAAGCCAUGAAAUAAGAGAUUUUCUCAAUUGAAAACAAUGAUACAUGGGAACUCACAGAUUUACCGCCGCACAAGAAUUCAAUUGGAGUCAAAUGGGUGUACAAGACAAAGAUGAAUCCGAAUGGCUCUAUCAACAAGUACAAGGCAAGACUGGUUGCAAAAGGAUACAAGCAAAAGGAAGGAGAAGAUUUUACAGAGGUAUUUGCUCCAGUUUCAAGACUUGAGACAGUUCGGUUACUUAUUUCUCUUGCUGCCCAAAAUAAUUGGAAAAUAUUCCAAAUGGACGUAAAAUCUGCGUUUUUGAAUGGUGUUCUCAAAGAAGAAGUCUAUGUUGAUCAACCACCAGGGUUUGUCAAAAAAGGAGAAGAAGAAAAAGUUUACAAGUUGAAGAAAGCUUUGUACGGGUUGAAGCAAUCACCCAGAGCAUGGUACAGCCGCAUCGAUUCUUAUUUUCAGAAGUGUGGAUUCCAGAAAUCUCCAUAUGAGCAUACUCUCUACAUCAAAGGCAAUUAUCAAGGAAGAUUCAUGGUUGUAAGUCUCUACGUUGAUGAUCUUAUUUUCACAGGAAAUGAUGUGAAGAUGUUGAAAGAAUUUCAGCACUCAAUGAUGGCAGAAUUUAAGAUGACAGAUUUGGGAGAACUUCAUCAUUUUCUUGGCAUUGAAGUUCAUCAAUCCGAGAAAGGAAUUUUUAUUUCACAAGAGAGCUACGCAAAGGAAGUUCUAAAAAAAUUCAUGAUGGAAAAUGCGAAUCCAGUCUCUACUCCAUGCAUUACAGGUCUGAAGUUAUCUAAAGAGGGUGAAGGAAAGCUUGUCAAUUCCACCAUAUUCAGAAGUUUGGUUGGGAAGUUGAUGUAUCUGACUUCGACAAGGCCUGAUAUCGUGUAUGUUGUUAGCUUGGUAAGUAGAUUCAUGGAGAAACCUUACUCCAAUCACUGGGAGGCUGCCAAGAGAAUAUUGAGAUAUGUGAAGGGAACCAUUGAUUAUGGAAUUUUCUAUAAAUCUAAUACAUUAGUUGAUCUCAUUGGUUAUACGGAUAGUGAUUUAGCAGGAAGCAUUGAUGAUAGCAGAAGCACUUCUGGUUAUGUUUUUCACCUUGGUAGUGGUGCAGUUUCAUGGAGUUCAAAGAAACAAUCAAUUGUGGCGCUUUCGACUAUAGAAGCUGAAUAUAUCGCUGCAUCUUAUGCAGGAUGUCAAUUGAUUUGGUUACGUGGAAUUUUGGAAAGUCUUAAGCAGAAGCAAAGCAAGUCAACAAUUUUGUUUUGUGACAAUAGUUCUACUAUUUCGGUCACAAAAGAUCCAAUUCUUCAUAGAAGGACAAAACACAUUCGCAUUCGAUAUCACUUCUUGAGAGAACUAGUGAAUAAUGGUGAUGUUCAAGUUGAAUAUUGCAAGACGGAAGAUCAGAUGGCUGAUAUCUUCACAAAGCCUCUAAGUGGACAAGUCUUCAAGAAAAAUGUUGAAAGGUUGGGAGUUCAAAGCAAGUUUAAUUUAAGGGAGGCAUUGUUGGCACAUAAUUAAAUUAACCUUGCACAAAUAAAUUAUGAAAAGUUAGAAGAGUGAAGAGACUUGAAUAUGAAAAGUGAAAAAACUUGAAUAUGAAUAGUGAAGAGACUUGAAGAUGAAAAGUUAAGAGGCUUGAAUAUGAAAAGAUACACACAUGCAUGAAUAGUCACAACUCCUAGCAUAUAGUGAUAUAGAUGAAUAGUCACUUACAACUCUUAUAUAAAGAGUUAUAUGUGAUGAAGAAUUAUUAACUUUGUGUGCUUGAAAUAAAAGAUUAUUUGAAAGAAUUUUUUCAUACAAAAUUUAUUUCUCUUCUCCAUUAUAUUCUUUAUCAUUUUCUUUGUUUUAUUUCUCCAAAUAUUAAUCAUUCAACUACAGAUAGGUCCAACCAUUCAAGACUUGUCAAAUCCCCUACUGAGGUAGGGAUACCACUAUUAAGGUUAUUAUGAGAAAGGUUGAGCCCUUUCAGUAAGUUAAGCUUCCCAAUAACCUUUGGAAUCUCCCCUUCAAACUGAUUGCUUGAUAGAUCAAUGAUCACCCACAUAGUGAAAAUUUUCACCAAUUCCACGUCUUGUCCUUUCAUAACAAUUCCAAUGGAAUAGGCAUAGAAGUCAUCUCCAUCAUUCACCCCCAUGUACGACACUGUACUACUAACCUUCUCUAGAUUUAUGAUAGCCUUGAAGCUGUUGAUGUAUCUCACUAGUAGGGGUCCAGAAAAAUAAUUACUUGAGAGGUCAAAAAUUUGGAUUUUAGAGAAAAAAGGGCUAGACUUGGAGUUAUUGACACACAGGGAACCAUGCAUUUGAUUUGACUUUAGUACAAGAACUUGUAGCUGUGGAAGACUUCCCAACCAAUGAGGAAAUGUAUCAUUGAUCUUGUUGUUACCAAGAUCUAGUACUUCCAGACCUCUACAAUUAAGGAUGGAUGGUGUCAAAGGCCCUCCUAACAGAUUUCCAUUUAAAUUGAAAUUACUCAAUUGGCAUCCCAUUGCAAAUGUUGGAGGAAUCGUCCCAUAGAACUUGUUCUUCUUCAGAUUCAAGAAUUGAAGGCUGUUGCUCAAAUUUCCAAAACACUGCGGAAUUGUUCCACUCAAGUAAUUGUGGGACAAAUCAAGAAUUUGAAGAUAAGUGGCAUUGCAUAUUAAUGAAGAGACCUCUCCAUUGAAACAAUUAUUUGAGAUCAAAAAGACAGUGAUGGUCGAAGCUGGAAUCGGAAGAUUUCCACUGAUCAAAUUGGAGCUUAAGUCAAGAACAUCAAUAUUCUUCCAUGGAAAGUGCUCAGCUUCUGUCAAAGAGUUGUGAAAUACAUUUAAGUAAGUCAAAGAGCCAUUCCCCACCUCUUGCAUCCACUAUGGAAUCUUGCCUUUAAUUUUGUUGCAAGAGAGGUCUAAGCUUUCCAAACUUUUAAGCCCUUUUAAAAAUUGGGGGAAUUCACUAAGAUUGCAAGAUGACAAAAAUAACCAUUCAAGAUUUCCACUGAUCAAAUUGGAGCUUAAGUCAAGAACAUCAAUAUUAUGACGAUAUAUAAGUUUCCCUUUAUUUUUUAAAAAAAAACCUCGUCUCGAGAUAUCGAAAGGUCAUAUCCAAUGAGUUAGGACACAACGUUUUGAAUUCCCGAGAUAAGCUUUAAUUUGAAAUUUUUAUAUUUUAAUUAAAAAAUGAUACUCAGUUACUUAAAUUCAACGAGGAAAAUUGGAGCCCAGUAAGUUAGGGCACAUUCUUCUCGAAAAUCUUGGAUACCGGGUAUUACGUUAUUUUGAAAACCUUUGAAUAAAACGAUUUCUAUACUUUGAUUAAAUGCAACCUUUUAAACGAAUAAAAUGCGAUGGAACAAUAACAUACAACCCGAAGUGAUAAUUCGUAAACUAAAAUAUAUGCUAAUGAUUGACAAGGAAUCAAUGAAUACGAGUAAGCAAUACAAUACAUCAUAUAAGAGCAACAAUCUCAUAUCCCACAUUAUGCAAAUACUAACGUCCAUAUUAGCAAGCUAAAUGAAUUAAAAGUUAAUUAAAGAACAGCAAGCAAAUUAAUGUAAAUCUAAUAUAACAAGCUUUAAAAUAAAAUAAAAAUAAAAAUCAUGAAAGAGAGGAAAGUGCUAAGGGAUAAGAUUGAAGGCCCGUAAUAUGAUCGCAAGACAAAGAAGCACGCUCUGUUAUGGAAAAAGAGUUCUUGAACUGGAUUAAUGAAGAGCAGGAGUGAGAUCCUGAAGAAGAAAAAGAAGCAUAAAGAUGGGGAAAAAAGAGGAAUAGGGAGAGAAAGAGAUAGGAGGCCAUGUUAUGUUUGUAGAGGAAGAAGGAUAGGAAUGGUAUUUAUAGGCAACAAAUAAUACCACAACAUUGGUGUUACAGUCUUUUUUUUCUUUUACAUUGAAAUGCUACAGAUAUUAGAUUUUCAAAAUAUUUGUAUUUUUCACAAUCAUCAACACUUAGUCGUCAUUUUACCAUAUAUUUUUCAUUCUUUUUUUUUUUAACAAAAUCUUGUAUAUCAUUUGGACUCGCUAAACAACUAAAAAAAUAAAGAUUGAUGAGAUUACAAAGUAGAUUGACUUAGUCUUCUUCCCUAUAACAUGUAAAGAAUGUAUGUGUCUAUUCAAUUGCCUGUCAACCAAAGCUUAUUAAUGUGGAAAUUCUUUUCCACACAAAAGAACAAAAUUGUGCUCUAUUCAGCUACGUUUGAGGAAGGAGACGGCUGGAAAUUUAAUCCACCGAUUCCAUAAAAACGUGUAUAUUUAUUUAUAAAUAUAUAUAUAACCUCAUGAUUCAAAUCUAAAAUCUCAUUUGUUAUAAAUUCUUAUAAAUUUAUUUGGGAAUAGUUAUUUUUCAUUCGUUAAUUAUUUCUCUUUUAGCCGUGAAACUUAUAUGGUUCGUUAAAUCGCCCCAAAAAAUGAUAAAAAAGAUUAACAAAACUAGCCCCUACGUGGCUGAUGUUGACCCUUAGUAGUUAAUGGCAACUCCUAUGUAAUUGUUAACAGAUACCACAGCAACAAUGUUUGUUGACGUGACAAUGCCACAUGACCAAUAAUCGUUGUCAUGGUAGUGCCACGCCGUCACCCAUUGAUGACAUAUUAACCUUCGAGUUAAACUCAAAUUGCUCUUUCCUUUGUUAUAAAUUAAGAGUAUAACUAAUUUUGAUAAGAAUAGUUACUUUUCAUUAACUCAGUUUAAAGGACUAUAACACGUAAAGUUUGGUCUAUUGCAGAAUUCACAUGCAAUGCGGGAUAUUUACAUUUUGAAGAAUUCAACACAUAUAUGGGAAUUUUUGUAUUUCCACAAUCAUAAUUUUGUUAGUGAUCAACAACUACUUCCUCCUUACCAUAUAUUUUUCAUUCAUAAAAUUGAUUACUUUUUUUAUCAAAGAAGUAAAAUAAUUAACAUUCUUAAGAUUACAAAGUCUUCUUCCUUAUAACACGUAAAGUUUAGUUCCAAAUAAUUUUCCACAAAAAAAAGACCAUCAAUUGUCGAUUGACUAUACUUUAACUCCAAAAAAAAGACUAAGACUAUCAAUUGUCUAUUGACUACACUUUAACUCGACAAAAAAGGACUAAGACUAAGACUUUCAAUUGUCUAUUGACUUCACACUUGCGGUUGCUUCCUCCUAUCUCUCUCACCCAAACUUAAUUUAGAAGCAAUGGGGAAAUUUUGGACAUUUGGGCCACAAUGAACAAUACUUCCACACCAUUUGCAGUAUUGACUACGUUUACUUGAGGGAAAACAAAGACAUGAAUGCUGGAAAUUUUAACUAGUUUGUACCGUCAAUGAAGCUACGUACCUAAAAGCCUUUUAGGAUAUCAAUUCCUGUAAUUGGAUUAAUCUCAUCGUUGCUGCAAUCUUUUGACAGUGUAAUCGAAUCUUAAAUAUGUUACUCUGCAAUGCUGUUGUAAAAAUUACUCUUAAAAUUGUCGAUAGAUAUAUAGGUUUGGCACAAAAUUAAGAAUACACAAAGGCAGGUUGAAUUAUUCCAUGUUUGAACAUAAAUUCAUAUGGCAAAAGGGCCCAAACCAUACCUUAUGUUCAUGAAUUCUCAUCAUCACAUGUUUAUAAAUGCAUCUCAAAACUUGAAUAAUUGAAUCUUUUGUAAUUCUACAUGUAUUUUUUUUUAUGGUGAGCAGUAUAAUGUUUACUAAAAAUUGAAAUUCAAGAAAGAAGACAUACAUAGUUGCACCAUACAAGUUGUUACACUCGAACUAAACCCUUACAAAUAGUACGAGAUGCAAUGAAAUACAGAGGAAUUGGUACAAUCAUAAAGACAGACACAUACCAAUGCAACUUUUCACCAUAGGAAAAACUUUCUGACAGACUACUAAACAAGAAAUUAUGAAGACACAGCAGAAAUGCUUUGACUUCUUUUGCACCAACUAGAUCCUUCUUCAUCCAUUGAUGCGAUUGCUAUAUUUUGGCUUUCUUCUUCGCCUCUUCUCAUGUUGGUUUUCAACCAAAUUCACAAACCUUUUCACCUUACCGGUUUGGAAAACAACAUAUCCCAUGGCCAUUCCAAACACUACCCCGCAUCCACAACCUAUCAACACCACUAUCCAACCAAAAGCAAUGUUUGCUUUUGAGCCAUCCUUUUCCAGCACAUUUGGAGGUGGUGUCUCAUUGAUGCUGCAACCUUUGGAGACUGGGAAUCCACAUAGUCUCUGUUUCCUUCAUAUGAAUUGUUUCGAAAUGUAUUGACAAUCUGACCAUGGAGUUGAUUUUCAGAAACGUUUAAGAAGAAAAGAAAUGCCGGAUCUGCCAAUAUCUCUGGAAUUAACUCAGUUCAAAUGACCAUAUAACUCGUAAAGUUUGGUCGAAGACUGGCAGCGUCUAUUGACUUCAACUCUUGCUAUUACCUCAAGAAGAAAGACUGCUACAAUUCUAUCUUCUUUAAACCAGCUAUUUAAAAGCAAUAAGGACAUUAAAUCCACCAAUUUAUCUUUGAAGUCAUUCGUCAUGCAGCUCUGCUAUGUACGAUUAUUGGCAAAAAUCUUGAAAGGAGACAACCUCAAAUUUGAAGACAAGAAAUGAGCAAGAACAUGCACCAACGAAGAAUCGAUUAUUGUUUUGUAUUUGGUAAAUACAAUUUGAGUUAAAUAAUCAAGAAUGAUAGUGAAUAAAUAAGGAAAAACAAUGUAGAUUCAGAACCACAAUAAAUCAUAUUAAGCUCAUGAGUUUAUAAUAUAUAUCUCUGCAGCUUGAUUGCCUUGUUAGCUAUAAACAUAACCUGUUAAUUCCAUCAUUAAUACCAUUAGAUAUAUUUUGAUGGGGGAGAUUUUUUAGUAGGAAAACAGUUGAAGUCAUUCAAGAAGACAUAAACAGCUGCAACUACGUAAGAGUUUAACUUUGAGAAUAGAUCCUUACACGUUAUUGAAAUGCCAUACUAAAGAUAAAGACAUAUAGCUAAACGUUAGACACACCAUAAAAAUAUAUAUAGGUAAAGUGAUAGGGUGUGAGUAAGGAGGCCAUGCUAUGUUUUCAAAUAAGAUUAUCAUGGUAUGAAUUAUGAGAACCCUAUUUAUAGGAAGAACAAAACCGAUAUGAAACUAAGAAUAUAGUCCAUUGAUAAUGAAGAAUCUAAGAAAUUUAAUGGAAAUUGUGGAUAAGCAUCGUGUUUUUAUCUCUGAUGGAGAAAAGCUAAGAGUGUGAGGAAGACCAACUGUCAAUGUCACCCAAACCGAAUCUACAAGUCACCACAAUGUACAGUAAUUCAAAGCAGGAAAAGUUCAUAGUUUCAGAGUAAAUAACACUUCAAUGAUUGUAUUAUAGAAAACAUGUGUAUCCUAUAUAUGUUGAACAAUAUUAUCUAACAAACAUAUUUUCCAAAAGACUAGAAAAUUUGUGAUUAAAUGCUAAAGUUACAUAUUUUAUGUAAUUAAAUUGGUUAAUUUAUGAGAGUGCACCACUAAUUUUUCCAUGUUUUUGUUGAAUUUUGUGCAGGGGUGCAAUUUGGGGCUAAAUAGAAGAAAAAGGAAACAAUUGGGCUAGAUUGAAGAGAGAAGCAAAGAAGGAGGGCCAAAACAGAAUUUUUCCAGAUUAAUUAGCUGAAAUUUUUGUUGACUUAGUGGGAGAUUAUUUUGGGAUUUUUUUUUAUAUCAUGGAAUAUUUUUCCUUAAUUUUCUAUACUAGUUGGCUUUUAAUUUAGCAAGGCCACUAGUAUAAAUAGAGGCUACAUUGUUCAUUUUAAUCAUCAAGUCUUGAAUCAAUUCAUAAAUCAAGCUUUCAUCUUUCAAUACAUUCUCUCUUUUCUACUCACAAAUUUAUUUGUUGUUUUUAGUUUCAUUUACUUUCAAUCCAUUAAUUUCCAGCUUGUUACCACUUAAACCAUUUUCAAUUUCUUUUUCAAACUUUCUUUCCAUCUCCAGUAGCUAAUUCACUUUAUUACACCCCCAAAAUUCCAGCCCCCCAAACUAAAUCACGCCACCCAUUCCUUUCACCCAUUUUACCUUAUUUAAUUUAUCCAAUACCAACAUGCCCCAAACCUUAGCCAACUAAAUUCAUUUCCAGCUUUAGGUCGGAAUUAGCCUCGUCAAAACCCGUGAGUUACGAACCCGAGCAAAUUAACUCCUAAAUUUUAGUACUUAUUAUUUCUCCGGAUUAAGAGUAUGAUUUUGUCAACUCACAAAGUCAGAUCAACAUUAAGUUAAAAAAGACGUCGUUUGAUUUAGUGUGGUUAGACGUACAGUUGGAAUUCCAAAAAGAUCGAUUCUAAUCGGUUUUCUGUGAACACAUUGGCGUGCCAAUUGGAGAUUGCUGUUUGGUUCCGUCAAGGGAAGUAGUAACCCGAUUUAAAUGUCCCACGCGGUUGAGGGCAUUGGUUCGAGCUAGGGUUUUCUAGAACGCAAAGCUGCCGGAGUUCUAAAUCACGAACAUUUCGUGGUUGUUCGAUCAGUAAGGGUUAGUUAUUGGACGUUCCAUAACUAAUUUACACAAGGAAGAGUUAGUGUCUGAGGCGUCCUUGGUAGCUAUAACUAGCUUAUUGGAAAAGAGGAGUUCAUCUAAUUUUGAGAAUCGGUUCAAAGACGAGGAAAAUUCGUGCCUAAAGCUGAGCUUAUUCUAAUUAAAUUUUCUUCAUAUUUAUUUAACUAUUUUAAUUAUUCUGUUUUCAACUUUAUCUUUUCACGCAUUUUAUUUAUUUAUUUCAGGUCUUCAAAUUUUAUCCCCCCGAACUUCUUGGGCACGACAACUGCCCCAACAUAAAUCUGGUCAAAAUAGAAACAAUUUGCAGUAAACCCAGUCUCUGAGGGAUCGACCCUACUCCCUAUACUGUUUAAAUCGCAAAUUAGGCGUAGGUUUAUAUUGGUGGAUUCGACACCCAUCAAUUUGUAUGUCAUUUUCUAUUACUUGCAAGAAAACUACAGGGGAAAUUGCAUUUCUAAUUCAUCCAUAGGCUUUAAAUUCAAACAAGAAAAAGGAAAAAGAAUAUAUAUAUAUCAACAGGAAACUUCAAGGAGAGAAAUUUUGUUACAUCAAUUUUCCAGUCAUAUUUAAUCUUUACCCAAAGUUGAUUCUAGAUUAAAUUUGGAAAAAAUUAAAAAAGAGGACAUGUAUUUUUUUUUAUUUUUGAAAAGUAAAGGAUUAUAUCUCAGCCAAAUAAAAAAGUCACAAUGCAAAGCCAAGAGCCAAAGCCAAGCCAAGCACACACUCAACUAGCAGACAUAACUCAUACAGGACCUAGAUGUAUUAUUGAACUCUUAUAUAAAAGACAACUGAAGAUGCAAAGCUUAAUUGUUAAGCUUUUCUGAUGCUUGAUAAGCAUAGUUUUAGUUCAGUUCCGAAAUCUAAACUGCUUUGCUAUGGGAUUAUUUUUAUAAGUACAUUGAGAUCAAUGCAUGCUAUUGCGAUUUAUUAUCUUUGAUGCCAAGGAAAUGACAGAAUUCAAAGACCAAAAGGUUCGAUUACAUACUAGAUCAUGGAUGUAAGCCAAUCUACAACCUCUCUCCUCGACCUCCAUGUGAAACCAGCAUGAUUUGAAUUCUCAGCCGCAUAUACCCUCACAAACUCCUCAGCAACAACAUAAAACAUAUACCUAACACUCCUUUGAGAACCGAUAACUGCACAGACAGAUUCACUAAUGGAAGCCUUCAAGAAAUAUUGAACCACACAAUUACCACACUUCUGUGAAAUAAACUUGUUGGUGCAAAGAGACAACAAUAGACUGUUUUCAAUCUUGCUUGUAUAGCAAGCCUCGAGCCUUGCUGAAGAAACAAACUCAAAAGCAAGAACAGAAACACAUGCGAAUGAAAAACAAAAGAAAUUGAGAGAGAGAGUAUUUUGAAUGAAAAGAGCUGAUAUUUCAUUAACAAAUCCAGAAGGCAUAAUGCCAUUACAUAUAAUAGAUAACAACAACAAAAUGAACAAGUCUUUACCUAAUGACAUACCUAACACCACUAAAUUUACAUUGGAAAUUGUUAAUCAGCUUGCUUAAGUUUCUUUGCUGAUUUUUUCAGUCAAUCAAUCAACAAAAAACAUCAUAAGGUUUACCAACUUAGUUCAACAUGAACUAGAUUACAAAAUAAUAAUUAAAAAUACAAUCAAAACAUAACAAGUAGUUAGGCAACUUUAAGCUCCAGUUUCUGCACUUCAUAGCUCGACUGCUUGCUGCCACUUCUCCUUGCAUGGCCACCUUUGCAUGUCUUGCAUGGGAACUAAAUUCAACACUCCUCCUUAGUUUCCAUGCUAGUGACACCUAAUUGCCUUCUUAAUUUAACAAAUUUAGACACAUUGAGUGCCUUUGUAAAGAUAUCAGCAAUUUGCUCUUCUGAAUUGCAAUGAACCAGCUCGAUUUCAUGAGCUUGCUCCAUCUCCCUUAUGACAUGUAGCUUGAUGUUGAAGUACUUUGCUCUACCAUGAAAGAUAGGAUUCUUUGCAAUUGCAACAGCAGAUUUGUUGUCACAGUAAAUCUCUGUUGCCUUUCCUUGAUUUUGAUUUAAAUCAGCUAGGAUUUUUCUAAGCCAUAUGGCUUGAUUUACAGCAGAUGCAGCAGCAACAUAUUCAGCUUCUGCUGUUGACUGUGCUACCAGACUUUGCUUUUUAGAACUCCAGCAAAACAUGCCUGAGCCAAGACUAAAGGCAUAUCCAGAUGUGCUUCUCAUGUCAUCACAAGAUCCAGCCCAGUCACUAUCAACAUAGCCUAUUAGCUUCAUGUUUAUAGCCCUUUUGAACAAUACACCAUGAUCAAUGGUGCCUUUGAUGUAUCUAAGCACUCUUUUAGCUGCUUGAAAGUGCUGAUCAUUGCAGCAAUUCAUGUAUCUGGAUAGCACACUAACAGCAAACAUGAUAUCGGGUCUUGUUGCAGUCAAAUACAACAGACUACCAAUGAGACUUUUGUACAUAGUCUCGCAAAUUGGUUCACCACUCCCUUGCCUCGAAAGCUUCACUCCAACAGCCAUUGGUGUGCUUGUUGGCUUGCAGUUCUUCAUAGAGAACUUAUCCAGGAUCUUCAUAGUAAAAGAACUCUGACUAAGAAAGAUUCCCUUUGCUGUUUGCUUCACUUCCAUUCCAAGGAAGUAGUUCAUUCUGCCUAAAUCAGACAUUUCAAACAUUUCCAUCAUUUUUCUUUUGAAAUCUUCCAGCAUUCUUCUAUCUCCUCCAGUCACCAAUAAAUCAUCAACAUAGAGUGACAGGAUAAGCUGAGUUUCAGCUUGGUUCUUCUUCACAUACAGUGUUGGUUCACUGAGACUUCUCUCGAAUUCCAAACUGAGCAAGUAAGAAUCAAUUCGAGCAUACCAGGCUCAAGGAGCCUGUUUUAGGCCAUACAAAGCCUUUUUCAGUCUGUACACCUUGUGUUCUUUGCCAGUGACCACAAAUCCUUGAGGCUGUUCGAUGUAGAUCUCUUCUUCCAGGAAACCAUUGAGAAAUGCAGACUUAACAUCAAGCUGAUGAAUGGUCCACUGAUGUUGAGCAGCCAAGGCAACUAUCAUUCUAACUGUGUCAAGCCUGGCUACUGGUGCAAAUGUCUCCAGAUAGUCCAGACCAUACCUUUGGCUAAAACCUUUGACAACAAGCCUGGCUUUUAGCUUGUUCAGACUGUCAUCUGCAUUCUGUUUUGCUCGAUAGACCCAUUUUACUCCAAUGGUCUUCUUUCCAGUAGGUUUAUCAACUAGCUCCCAUGUCUGGUUCUUCUCAAUCAUGUUGAUUUCAUCGACCAUAGCUAGUUUCCAGCCUUCAUCUGCCUCAGCCUCUUCAAAACUGCUAGGUUCUGCUAUUGCAACCUGUGCCCUUUCAUAAAUAUCAUCUAGGGGCCUUGUGCCUCUCACAAGCACAUCAUCAACAUCCAUUUCAGGUCCUAGCUGCUCAAGUUCAGCUUGAUUAGGCACCAGGUCUUCUGAAGCAGCUUCUGGUUCAUUCUUUUCCCAAUUCCAACAAGCCUUCUCAUCGAAGAUGACAUCUCUGCUCACUUGAACUAUGUUUGUCAAAGGAUCCAGCACCCUGUAGCCCUUCUUAACUGAGCUAUAGCCUACUAGAACACCUGGUUGAGCCCUUUCAGAGAGCUUGUCUCUCUUAACUGCUGGUAUUUGUGCAUAACACAGGCAACCAAACACCUUCAGAUGUACCAAGGAAGGCUUGAAACCGGACCAAGCCUCGAAAGGUGUUUUGGAUGCAAGAGCUUUGGUAGGAAGCCUAUUUUGAAGGUAGACAGCAGUGUUUACUGCCUCAGCCCACAUGGUCUUGGGCAGUUUCUUCUCAAACAGCAGGCACCUGGCCAUAUCCAUCAAGCUUCUGUUCUUUCUUUCUGAUACCCCAUUCUGCUGAGGUGUGUAGACAUUUGUAAGCUGGUGUUUGAUACCAGCAUCAUUGCAAAUGGCUUGAAACUGAGCUGAAGUGUACUCAGUGCCAUUGUCUGACCUUAUCGAUUUCAGCUUGCAACCUGUUUCUGUCUCUACAGCAAUUUUAAACUUCACAAACACUUGAGCUACCUCAAACUUGUGUUUUAAGAAGAAAAUCCAGCAAAACCUUGUAAAAUCAUCAAUGAAGAGGAUGAAAUACCUAUUUUUCUUGAGUGAUUCAGUCCUCAUCGGGCCACAUACAUCAGAGUGCACCAGCUGUAGUUUUUUAGUAGCUCUCUAAGCUGAAUUUGUAGGAAAUGGCAGUCUUGCCUGUUUCCCCAUCUGGCAAACUUCACACACAUCAUCAUGCUCCACUGAGCUAGUAAAGUUCUCUGCCAAGCCUUCUUUGGCCAUUCGAGCCAAUGAUCUGAAGUUGGCAUGCCCAAGCCUUUGAUGCCAAAGCUUGGAAUCAUCAACAGAGGCUGUAUAUGCAGACUUUGAGUCAUUUGGCCAGUGUACCUCAAAGCAUUUGUUAGUCAUUGUGACUGUCAUAAGGCUUGAUCCACUUGGAUCAGCAAUGUGGCACUGUUUGUUCUUGAACACAACAGAAUAGCCUUUCUUGAGCAAUUGAGCUAUGCUGAGAAGGUUUCUGUCGAUUUCUGGCACUAACAGCACAUUUGGAAUGAUCUUGUUGCCUGUGGGGGUACAUAUCAGCACCUCUCCUCUUCCUUCAGCCCUUAUGAACUGACCAUUUCCAACCUUGACCUUGGUUUUACAACUUCUAUCCAAGGUUUUAAAUAAGGAGGCAUCUGGUGACAUGUGGUUAGUGCAACCACUGUCCAAUAACCAGCCUUUUGAGCAUUUCUUCUCAGCAGCUAAGAAAGAAACAGCAAAGACCUGCUCUUCUUGAUCACUACUGUCCUCAGCUACUCGAGCUUCAACCUUUGGUUGUUGAAAUUGACUCUGCCUUGACUUGGUUUUAUUUUUGCAAACCCUUUCAACAUGGCCUUUCUUCUUGCAGUGUUGGCAUACUGCAUCUGGCCUGAACCAGCAUCUGUCUUCUGGAUGACCUGGCCUCUUGCAAUGUCUGCAGGGCUGGUCAUUGCUCCUUGCAGUAUCAGGCUUAGGCCUGCUUUUCCAAGGCUUUUUACCUCUUGGAGCAUUGAUGCUCGAGGCUUCUCUGGCCUUGGCAUUGAAUGCACCUUCCUGGUGGUCUUCAGCUCUGCUAGCUCUCCUUUGUUCCUGAGCAUAGAAAGUGUUGAUUAGCUCAGUCAAAGAGAUGGUAGCAAGGUCUCUUGAGUCCUCAAGAGAGGAUAUCUUGGCCUCAUAUCUCUCAGGCAAAGUGGAGAGAACUUUCUCUACUAUCCUUGCCUCAUCAAAGUGCUCACCAAGGAGCCUUAUACUGUUAACCACUGCCAUGAUUCUAUCUGCAUACUGCUUCACUGUUUCUUCUUCCUUCAUCUUCAGGUUCUCAAAAUCCCUUCUCAAAUUCAAUAGCUGUUGUUGCCUUGUUCUCUCAGUGCCUUGAAACUCCUCCUUAAGCUUAUCCCAUGCCUGUUUUGGAGUCUCACAGGCCAUAAUUCUGGUGAAGAUGACAUUUGACACACAAUUCUGAAUGCAGGACAUGGCUUUGUGCCUUUUGGUCCUCUCAUCAGCAUGUUGCCUAAUCUGAGCUACUGUGGGAUUGGCCCUCAGUGGUGCUGGCUCAGCAUCUGUGUUGACAACUUCCCACAGAUCAAAGGCCUGUAGGUAAGUCUUCAUCUUGACCAGCCAUAUGUGAAAGCCUUCUCCAUUGAAGACUAGUGGGGCUGCUGGUGAAAAACUUGAGGAAGACAUUCAGCUUUCUUAGUUUGAUAAAACAGGUCCACUAAGAAUGAAGCUCUAGAUACCAAUUGUUGGUGCAAAUAGACAACAACAGACUGUUUUCAAUCUUGCUUGUAUAGCAAGCCUCGAGCCUUGCUGAAGAAACAAACUCAGAAGCAAGAACAGAAACACAUGCGAAUGAAAAACAAAAGAAAUUGAGAGAGAGAGUAUUUUGAAUGAAAAGAGCUGAUAUUUCAUUAACAAAUCCAGAAGGCAUAAUGCCAUUACAUAUAAUAGAUAACAACAACAAAAUGAACAAGUCUUUACCUAAUGACAUACCUAACACCACUAAAUUUACAUUGGAAAUUGUUAAUCAGCUUGCUUAAGUUUCUUUGCUGAUUUUUUCAGUCAAUCAAUCAACAAAAAACAUCAUAAGGUUUACCAACUUAGUUCAACAUGAACUAGAUUACAAAAUAAUAAUUAAAAAUACAAUCAAAACAUAACAAGUAGUUAGGCAACUUUAAGCUCCAGUUUCUGCACUUCAUAGCUCGACUGCUUGCUGCCACUUCUCCUUGCAUGGCCACCUUUGCAUGUCUUGCAUGGGAACUAAAUUCAACAAAACUCCUUCUGCCACUCGAAACAAUGACCAUUCCAAACAUUUUGAUAGACAAUACACAAUUUGCUUCACUACUUACUCACAUAGCCAAAAAAUAUCCAAUGAAACUGGCAAAGGGUUCUUCCAAAAUGGUACAUUAGCUGCCAAAAAGACAACCACCAUAUAUUCCUUCAUUCAGUAAACAGCUUCAAUAUGGAAAUAAGUUAUUAUCUUAAAAAUGCUUUUUCUACCACAGAAGAAUAAGAACUAGGCAUCUCAGAAAAUUUGCUAAAUUAAUGACUUUGCUCCCUUCAAAAUAAACAAAUGAUUAACUGCAUUAUCCCAAAGAGGUCACCAUCAACCUCCAGUUGAACUUUCAAGGAAUAAUAAUAAAAAAUAGAAGGAAAUAAGGGGGAAAAAACCCAACCAGAACUCAGUAAUAGCUGAGCCUUGAAGAUCUGUAGGUAGUAAGAGAAAAACCCCAUGACGACUAAAGUCCAGGCUUGAAAGAACCAAAAGGGAGCAACAUAUGACUAUGAUUCACUGGACCAAGAGAAUCACCAAUGAAUAAAGGAAAAAGGGUACUUUCCUUUAUACCUAAACAUACAAUAUUUAGCCUCAAAAUGGGAAAAUUUCAGGUUUUCACAAAGGGUUUAAGAAAGAGGGUGAAAGUUAAAGAACUUGUCUUUGUUUUGAUGUGUGGUACACGAGAUAGUGAAGGAAAAUAGAGGUGAGGAAAUAAGAUGGAGUAAGUGCCUAAGUGGUGAAAAAGGAGAGCCUAAAAGAGACAUUUUUGAAGGGUAGUUUAGAAGCUGCAGAGGCUUUGGCAUACAGCAGCUGAUAAUGAGAGAAGACAAACCAGAAAUGUAAGUACGACGACGAUAAAAAUUAAAAAAUUUUAAGAAUUAAUGAAAUAAAAUUUUGUAGCUUAGCGAAUUGGGACGAAGUCCACCAGUGUGAUGCCCAUAGAUCCAUACCUGGGAUUUUUCUAUUUGGGCUAACUUUCUAACUUCUCCCACCAGUCUUAAAACUUUGCAGAUUUUUUCAAUUUGAUCUGGAUUGUAUGAUAACAUAUCACUUUGAGAUUGGAAAAAAAAUUAUUUUUUUUAAAUUAGAGAAAAAAUAAAGAAACUAAAUUUCAAGCAUGCAAAGUACAAAAGAAAGAACUGUAUUAAUAAAAGAUGAGUUACUUCACUCAGAUUGGAGUACCCUUUAAACAAGUUUAUUCUUGUAGAGAAAGAAACUGGAUUUUGAUUUCAUUUGCUGUGGCAAAAUUUUUAAUUUCAACAACAGUAUAACAUAUUGAAAGCCUGCCUACAUCUCGGCAGAAAAAUUUACAAAUUCUUUCAUCAGACAAUUUAAAUGAUGCAAUGCAAAGAUUCAUCAAUGUAUGAUCUUUUUAUCAUAAAUGGCUGUUUUACUGGAAAACUUGAUAUGUACUGUCUUUCACAUUCUUUUGUGCUGAAUGGUCUCUGAAAACUGCAAUCAUCAACUAUAGAUAACCCAUUCCUCAGCGCCGCCAGAGCCGACCUUGUUGUUUCUGUUCUUGAACUUGCCUGUGUCAUCAAAGGCAGUGAGCAUUUAUCAAUGUUAUAAAAAUGGCAUAUCGAAGUCAGAUUUUACUUGACAAUACACAAAUGUAAGAAGAUAAUUCACCUUUGAUACUCUUUAGAACGCUCGAGAAACUCUUUCGCGAUGUCUUUUCUUUAAUAUGAUUGCAAUACUUGUCUGAUAUCAGCCGGACCAUUGUGUUAGUACAAAACUCCGGUAAGGAAAAAAACUCGAACACACGAUCGGAACUCGAAAAGAAAAAGAAGAAAUAGGACAGGCUCCAAGGCGUGUAUCAAGCCACUAUCUUUAAGGUUAUAUUCGCCCCCACUUAUCUUCAGUGUGCAAACGAGUUCCAAGCAAAUUAACCUCGAGGAUACAAUGAAGCCAAUGACUAUUUGCGUUUUGCACUGACGAGAAUAGUCCACUAUACACUAAGUAAUGUAUAACAAAAACUCAAUUUCUACAAAGGAUUUCUGCAGCAAUACUUUAUAGAAUAAUCUAAUAAUAUUAGAAAAUGAAGGAAGAGAAGAAAUAAUAUUAGAAUUUGUUGAUAUGAUUUCCAAAUGAAAUCCCAUUCCUAUUUAUAGGAAUUUUCAUGUCUCUUCAUAGAGACAUCUUUCAAUAGGUGUCUUUAUGAAUAAAUAAAUAAUAAUAAUUAUUCAUUUAAUUUUGUAACUAUUCAAAUAAUAUUUUUUGAAUAGUUAUAAUUCUUUUUUAAAAAAUCAAAUGAUAUAACUUUUGACCAAUGACCAAAAGUUUUAUCUUUUGAUUAAUUACACCCAUUCAUUUAUAGUUAUUGGGAUACUAUAAAUAUUUGAAAAUAUUCCAACAAUCUCCCCCCAUUUUCAAAAUAUUUAGAUUUUGAUAUUCUUGGAAAUCAAUUUGCAUAAAUAAAGGUGUCUUACGAUUGAACCUUCACUUAGUGAAAACAUGUUAAAGUUAAUCGAAAUUGUAUGGUAGACUAAGCUUUGAACCAACUAUUCCAUUUGAUUAAUUGAACACAUCUCACACAAUGAUUUCAACAUCAGUCAAUGCAUAGUAUCUAGGGACACUAUUAUAGCCAUGUGUCUAUGUCCUCUUUUCAUGAGUGCUGUCAGAGCCAAGCCCUUAAGCUCCUAGAAGCGGCCACACUUCCACUCACAUAGGUAGAUCCCAUCAAAAGUGUUCCCGUAAUUAUAACACUCUAACAUAUUUAUGUUAUGGGUCCAUUAAGAGUAAAUUACUCAUCCUUCCCUUAUCAUUACGGGUACCUAGCACUUUAAUCUUAGGAUGGAUUUAUUUAUAGUGCUAACAGUCACAUACUAAUGAUGUACUUUGUCUCAUUGAACUCAAGACUUGACGUUAUACCAAGCAUUGAGUCGAGUUUCCAUCAUGGGUGACUCUAAUUAAUAGGCUUGAGUCCCAUCCCUUUUGAGGUCCUUUUUACUGCAUCUCUAGCAAGACUUUUUGUCAAAGGAUCUGCCAAAUUUUCACUUGACCUCACAUAAUUAAUAGUGAUCACUCCAUCAGAGAUUAAUUGUCGGACAUAACUAUGUCUUAAUCCAAUGUGUCUAGACUUUCCAUUAUAUACUUGGCUAUAUGCCUUUGCUAGAGUAGCCUCACUAUCACAACGGAUAGAAAUAGGUGAAAUUGGCUUAAGCCAUAAACGUACAUCAUAAAGCAAAUUUCUUAACCAUUCUGCUUCUUUAGAUGCAGCGGCUAAUGCAAUAAAUUCUGCUGCCAUGGUGGAAUCAGUAAUACAUGUUUGUUUCUUGGAACCCUAAGAAAUGACUCCUCCACCAAGAAUGAAGAUCCACCCACUAGUAGAUGCAUGAUCUUCCAAACUUGUAAUCCAACUAGCAUCCGAAUACCCUUCUAAAACUGGAGGAUAUCCAUUAUAACACAAUCCAUAGUUAAUAGUUUUCUUUAAGUACCUAAGUACUCUAUUUAAAGCUUGCCAAUGCAAACUACUUGGAUUAUUUGUGUAUCUACUCAAUUUUCCAAUAGCAUAUGCAAUAUCUGGUCUUGUACAAGUCAUUAUGUACAUAAGAAAACCAAUUGACUUGCAUAUUUCAAUUGAUCAAUUUUCCUACCAGCAUUAGAUACUAAUUUUAAUUGAGGAUCCAUGGGUGUAGAUACUGGUAUACAGUUGAAAAUAUCAAACUUUUUAAGCACAUUUUCAAUGUAAUGUGAUUGUGAUAAAGCUAUAGUGCUUUCAUCUCGGGUUAUUUUAAUCCCAAGAAUAACAUCUUCUACACCCAUAUCCUUCAUAGCAAAGUUGUUUGACAAGAAUUUCUUUGUGUUUUCUAUUUGUUCCAAAUCCGUGCCAAAAAUGAGCAUGUCAUCUACAUAUAAGCAAAUUAUAACACCCUUUCCAUUAUCAAAUUUACUAUAUAUGCACUUAUCGGAUUCAUUUAUUUAUAGCCAUUAGCUAAAACAACCUUGUCAAACUUUUGGUGCCAUUGUUUUGGUGCUUGUUUAAGCCCAUAUAAAGAUUUAACAAGCUUACAUACCUUAUGCUCUUGUCCUGGAACAACAAAUCCUUCCGGUUGCUCCAUGUACACUUCCUCUUCCAAUUCACCAUUUAAAAAUGCAGUUUUAACAUCCAUUUGGUGAACAACCAAAUUAUAUAUAGAGGUAAGUGAUAUUAAUAGUCUAAUUGUAGCAAUUCUUGCUACUGGAGCAUAGGUAUCAAAGUAAUCAAUACCUUGUCUUUGUGUAAAACCUUUUGCUACCAACCUUGCUUUAAAUUUAUCAAUGGUUCCAUCGACCUUCAUUUUCUUUUUGAAGAUCCAUUUACAACCUAUUGGUUUGGAACCUGGUGGAAGAUCAACUAAGAUCCAAGUUUGAUUUCCCAUUAUUGAAUCCAUUUCAUCAUUUAUUGCUUCUUUCCAAAAAGUAGAGUCUUGAGAUUUCACUGCUUCUUCAAAUGUAACAGGAUCAGAUUCGGUAUUAUAACAAUAAGGUAUCUUAUUGCAUAUACUUUCACCUUUUCCUUCUAUAAGAAACAUAAUGAAAUCUGGUCAAAAAUCUUUGACCUUUUUAAUCCUCUUACUUCUUCUUAAUUCUUGACAAGAUUCAUCAUUAUUAUCAAUUUGUUUCAAUGGAAUCUCAUUCUCAUUUGAAGAAUGAAUCAAUUGUUGUGGUUGUAAUUGUCUUGAUAUAGAAUUAAAUCUAUUUUCAUCAAAAAUAGCAUCUCUUGAUUCAAUAACCGUAUUAAUUGAAAUUGAAUCAUUUGGUUCAAUUACUAUGAACCUAUAUGCCUUGCUAUUAUGUGCAUAACCUAUAAAUAUGCAUUCAAUUCCUCUUUCACCUAACUUUUUACGUUUAGGUGUUGGAACUUUUACAAUAGCUCUACAACCCCAAACCUUUAAAUAAUUAAGGUUUGGUUUCCUUUUCUUCCAUUGUUCAUAGAGGGUUAUUUUAGUUUCCUUAUUAGGAACUCUAUUCAAUAUAUGACAAGCUGUUAGAACAGCUUCUCCCCAAAAACCCUGUCCAAGACCUGAAUAUGAUAACAUUGAAUUUACCAUUUCAAUCAAGACUCUAUUUUUCCUUUCAGCUACACCAUUUUGUUGUGGUGUGUAAGGGGCUGAAACUUGAUGGACAAUUCCAGUGAGUUCAAAAUAACUUGGAUUAUAGUAUUCUCCACCUCUAUCCGAUCUUAAGCACUUGAUAAAUGAUUCACACUGAAGUUCAACUUCAGAUUUAUAAACUUUAAAUUUAUCAAGCGCUUCAUCUUUUGAAUGCAAUAAAUAUACAUAACAAUAUCUAGAACAAUCAUCAAUAAAAGUAACAAAAUAUUUCUUUCCACCUAAUGUAGGAGUAUUAUGCAAGUCACAUAAAUCACUAUGUAUCAAAUCAAGCAAUUUUGUUUUCCUUUUAACCUUAGGGAAAGGAUUUCUUGUAAUUUUAGUCAACAUACAGGUAUUGCAUUUUUCAAUAUUAUUAUUAAAAACAGGAAUUAAAUCUAAUUUAUACAUGUCAUUCAAUUUUCUAUAAUUCAAAUGACCUAAUCUAUAAUGCCACAAACAAAAUGAUUCAACCAUAUAAGCAGAAAUAGUAUUUUUAUUCUUAUUAAUAAUAUUAAGUUUGAACAUGCUUUCAUACAUAUACCCUUUUUCCCACAAAAAUUCCUCCCUUAGACAAAAUAAACUUAUCUGCCUCAAAAACAAGUUUGAAACCAAACUUAUUCAACAGACUUCCAGACACUAAAUUUUUCCUAACUUCUGGUACAUAAUAUACAUCAUUUAAGGUUAAAACCUUUCCAGAAGUGAAUUGUAGUUCAACAGACCCUUUGCCUUUAAUUUGCGGUGGAAGAAUUUCCCAUGUACAAGACAUUGUCAUUUUCACAUUGUGUGACUUUGUGAACAUGCUUUUGUCUUUGCACACAUGUUUGGUUGCUCCGGUAUCAAUCCACCAUGUAUUAUCAUCUUGUACCAUAUUAAUUUCAGAUAUCAUUGCAACGAACUUUUCGUUAUUAUCAGCCUUAGAAGAUGAUUUCUUCUUUAAAAAUCGAUAUUCAUUCUUGAAAUGUCCCGGCUUUCCACAAUGAUAGCAUGAGCCCUUUUGUUUCUUUUUGAACUUAGGUGCUCUAUCAGCCUGAUUGAACUUUCUUUUGAAUGGUUUAGUAGUCUGUACUUCCUCCGUAACAUGUACUUUGGCAUUUUCAGAAUUUAGGUUCUGAUCUUGUUGUCGAUACUCUUCUUCAAUACGAAGAUGAUUUGCCAAAGCCUCAAGAGAUAUUUCCUCUUUCUUAUGUUUUAGACUUCUUUUAAAGUCUUUCCAAGAUGGAGGAAGUUUGUCUAUUAUAGAGGAUACCACAAUUAUUUCAUCCAUUUUCAUAUCAUAUUGCUUAAAUUGAUUCAACAUCUUUUCAAUAUCACGAAAUUGUUCCAUAACAGAACGACCAUCAACCAUUUGAUAAUUAUUGAAACGACUGACAAGAAAUUUCUUACUUGUAACAUCUUCGGUCAUGUAUCUUGCCUCCAAUUUGUCCCAUAAAUCUUUAGCGGUGACGUCGUUUUGGUAGGUGUCGAACAAACCAUCAGAUAAACCAUUCAAUAUGUGGCCCAUGCACAUGUAAUCAGCAUUGUCCCAUUUUUGUCUUUCUCGGGUUGCAGCAAUAGAUUCGUUUUCAUUCUCUUCAGGUCUUGGAGUAUCCAAAACAUAAGCAAUCUUCAAAGUUGAUAACAAAAAGUGCAUCUUUUUCUGCCAUCGUCGAAAAUUGCCACCAUCAAAACGAUCAAGUUUAACAAAGUUGGAAGCCAACUCCCUUAGUGUUCCACUUUCAUGUGUUGUGGUAGUCAUCAUGAAAUAUAACCUUAAAAUUGUUAGUACAAAACUCCGGUAAGGAAAAAAACUCGAACACACGAUCGGAACUCGAAAAGAAAAAGAAGAAAUAGGACAGGCUCCAAGGCAUGUAUCAAGCCACUAUCUUUAAGGUUAUAUUCGCCCCCACUUAUCUUCAGUGUGCAAACGAGUUCCAAGCAAAUUAACCUCGAGGAUACAAUGAAGCCAAUGACUAUUUGCGUUUUGUACUGACGAGAAUAGUCCACUAUGCACUGAGUAAUGUAUAACAAAAACUCAAUUUCUACAAAGGAUUUCUGCAGCAAUACUUUAUAGAAUAAUCUAAUAAUAUUAGAAAAUGAAGGAAGAGAAGAAAUAGUAUUAGAAUUUGUUGAUAUGAUUUCCAAAUGAAAUCCCAUUCCUAUUUAUAGGAAUUUUCAUGUCUCUUCAUAGAGACAUCUUUCAAUAGGUGUCUUUAUGAAUAAAUAAAUAAUAAUAAUUAUUCAUUUAAUUUUGUAACUAUUCAAAUAAUAUUUUUUGAAUAGUUAUAAUUCUUUUUUAAAAAAUCAAAUGAUAUAACUUUUGACCAAUGACCAAAAGUUUUAUCUUUUGAUUAAUUACACCCAUUCAUUUAUAGUUAUUGGGAUACUAUAAAUAUUUGAAAAUAUUCCAACACAUUGCGGGCUACAUCUGUGAACAAAUCAAAACAAAUGGUACUAUAAUCAACAAAUGAAUAUAGGAAACAUAAAAUUUGAACAAAGGCGAUGUGCAGAGGAAAAAGCAACAACAUAAGACUUACAUUCAAGAAAUGGAAUAAGGUCUAAAAGUGCGGUAUCAUCAGUCUCGACCUUAUAUGGCUUAAUAUGGACACAAUUUUCUGGUUGAAGGCUAGAAUCAAAUGCAUGAGCACUCACAUAUAAAAUCUUGGUUGGAUCCCUGUUUAGCUUUGAAAGAUCCUGCCAACAGGAACUAUUUGUUAACAAUAAGGCUUCUUUUUAAGUAGCAGCUUGUAAAGGCACUGUCUCAUAUAUUAAUUCACAUAGUAUUGUAGAAACUAAGGAGGAGAAAACCAAAAGCAAAAUGUUUUGAAGGGAAGAGAUUGACUAUGACAUGGUAAAAGUAUCAUGGAGGCCCCUAUGUUAGGAGUUAGAUUGCCUUUUGCCCCCUUUACUCAAAAACUGGAUAAAUUAGUCCCUAUAUGUUAGAUUAAAGAGUAAGCUAGACUUUCUGUUAAAAAUUUCAUCCAUUGCUACUGUUAAAAACUGGUGCAGUUGAUAAAAUAACCAAACAGUUACACAUAAUGUGUCACGUGUACCUCAUGCUAAUGUAUAUGGACCAAUUUUUAACAGUAGAAAUGGAUGGAACUUGUAACAGAAGGGCUGGUUUGCUUUUUAAUCUAAUUUACAGGGAUUAAUUUGCCCAUUUUUUUAGUAAAGGGGUGAAAUGCAAUAUGACUCCUAGUAUAAGGGCCUCCAUGGUACUUUUACCACUAUGACAUACUCUAUAAUGCUUGCCAUCCUGAUAUUUAGUAGCACCCCUUGAUAGCCUAUAUCGUAUACAAUGGUUAGUGUCCAACCUUUCACAAGCAGGAUCAACAUACCGCAUAGCCAAAAACAAAAUAAUUAUGAACUUGCAGGCAACAUCAGUUAUAGUAUAUCUGAAAAAGAUAAGGAAAAAAAACUGUUACUUUCAUAUCUAAUUUCUUUAUAGUAUUAGGACAAACUAAACAAUGGAUAUAUCACAUUAUUAAGACUUAGCUAAGGAGCCGCUGAUAUACAUUCAAAUGAUCAAUCAUAAAGGAUGAACUAGGAGGCCUAAUGAUAAAUCAAAAUUACACCUAAACCAGUUAUAUGUCUAAAGGCAAUUGCACAUUAUAUCAAUCAAACAACUAAAAUAAAUAGAGAAAAUCCUUUAAAAUAUUCAAUUUCUAAACAAAAUCAAACUCACAUCAAUAGCAGAUCUUGACAAAGAAACCCAAAAUCACAAAUGAUCCUAUCUUUUUAAAAGGGGAAAAAGAAAACUUACUAUAAGAGAGAUAACCAGCAUAGCCAGUAGUUCCAGUAACACCUGCAAUGAGUCCGUACUUGACAAAGCUCUAAAUUUUCCCUCCCGAAACCUGUGGGGCAACUUUCGGCGCCAGAGGAGGAGGUGUCGACUGAUCGGAGAGAAUGGAUUGUGAAGAACAAUCCAAACUUAAUUUACAAGCAAUGUGGAAAUUUUGGACGUUGCAGUAUUGACUACGUUUACUUGAGGGAAAACAAAGACAUGAAUGCUGGAAAUUUUAACUAGUUUGUACGGUCAAUGAAGCUACCUCGAAUGUUAAAUAUGUUACUCUGCAAUGCCAUUGUAAAUAUGACUGUUAAAUUUGUUGAUAGCGGAAUUGUUCCACUCAAGUUAUUGUGGGACAAAUCAAGAAUUUGAAGAAAAGUGACAUUGCAUGUUAAACAAGAGACCUCUCCAUUGAAACUAUUAUUUGAGAUCAGAAAGACAUUGAUUGUCGAAGCUGGAAUCGGAAGAUUUCCACGGAUCAAAUAGGAGCUUAAGUCAAGAACUACAAUAUUCUUCCAUGGAAAGUGCAAAACUUCUGUCAAAGAGUUGCUGUAAUUGGAUUAAUCUCAUCGUUGCUGCAAUCUUUUGACAAAUCGAAUCUUAAAUAUGUUACUCUGCAACGCUAUUGUAAAUGUUACUCUUAAAUAUUACUCUGUAACUAGAUUGAUGGCUCAAUCUUGUUUUUAACAUUGUUAUGGGUAUUACUACUUUCAUGCUUUGAUACGCGAUACCCUCUUUCUAGGUGACAUUUUUGCUCCUUCCGGGCCACCAUGGGCUCUCUGCAUCACUCACCAACCUCAUUAGAUUCCCCGGGUGCCAUUUGGCCAUCUCAAGUCUCAAAAUAGCAUCAAAAUGCACUCUAAUAAUUUAUUAAUAUAAAGAACUAAAACAAAAUAAAAACACAACAAAGAUAUCUAAAUUGCACGAAAAUAAGCUUUUAAGUGUGAUGGAGAGUCUAAUUUGACAUAUCAAUUAAUGUUUGACUAUCUCCAUCUCACUUUUUAUUAAUUAAGGAAUAUGAAUUAGAAUUAAUAUAAACUUACUAUUUUAACAUUUCAUAAGCAAAAGCUAAAAUAAUAUUGGUCACAUCCCAUAUCUUCAUAUAUAGCUUAUCAGACAAAAGUUAAAACAGCCUUCAGUUCAUCUACAUUCUACAUUCCACGUCGAAUCUGCAAGCAUCAAAUAUUAACCUUUGAACUCCAAAAUAACAACACCAAUUUCCAGCAAUUGCAGAAGAAUGUCCAAUAAUUCCACACAAAUUAACAACAAUUUGCCAGCAUCCACUACAUUCGUAUGAAUUCCACACAAAUUAAGACUGGAAACUCUAACUUGUUCAUACCCUCAAUGAAGCUACCUAAAAGUUAUGAAUUCCACUGCAAAUUUUGUAUUGCUUGGAAUGAAUUGACUGUAAUUUCCUAUUACUUGCCACAAAAUUUUCUUUUACUGCUAACUUGUAAAAAAAUUAUGAAAAUACAACAGAGAUCAUUGAGACAUUUUGUUCUCCUUUCUCCUUUACUGAGCAGUAGCAAAGAUUAUCGAGACUAAAUUGAAAGUCAUGAAAGAAGACAUAAACAACACCACCAUACAAAAUGUUACACUCAAACAAACCAUUACAGAUAGUACGAAAUGCAAUGAAAGACACAGGAAUUGGUACAACAAUAAAGACAGACACAUACCAAUGCAACCCUUCACCAUAGGCAAAACGGUCUACAGAAUAAGAAAUUAUGAAAAUACAACACUAAUUCUUGAACAUCAUUUCCAGUAAUUAGAUCCUUCUUCGUCUAUUGCUUCGAUUGCCUUUCUUUGACUUUCUUCUUCGCCUCAUCUCUUGUUGGUUUUCAACCAAAUUCACCAACCAUUUCGGCUUACCAAUUUGGAAAACAACAUAUCCCACGGACAUUCCGAACACCACUCUGCAUCCAUAACCUAUCAACACCACUUUCCAACCAAAAGCAAUGUUUGAUUUUGAGCCAUCUUUUUCAAGCGCAUUUGGAGGUGCUGGCUCAAUGAUGUUGCAACCUUUCGAGACCGGAAACCCACACAGUCCAUUAUUCCCUUCAUAUGAAUCAUUUCCAAAUGUGUUGAAUUGUUUUCCUUGAGGAAUCUGACCAUGGAGUUGAUUUUCAGCGACAUUGAAGGACGAAAGAAAUGGCAGAUCUGCCAAUCUAUUUGGAAUCGUCCCAGACAACCUGUUUGAAGAUAGGUCCAACCAUUCAAUACUUGUCAAAUUCCCUAUUGAUGUGGGAUACCACCAUUAAGGUUAUUAUGAGAAAGGUUGAGCCCUUUCAGUAAGUUAAGCUUCCCAAAAACCUUUGGAAUACCCCCUUCAAACUGAUUGUUUGAUAGAUCAAUGAUCAUCCACAUGGUGAAAAUUUUCACCAAUUCCAUAUAUUGUCCUUUCAUAACAGUUCCGAUGGAAUAGGUAUAGAAGCCAUUACCUCUCGGAACAUACAUCCCCAUGUACGACAUUGUACUCCCAAUCUUCUCUAGAUUUAUGAUACCCUUGAAGCUGUUGAUGUAUCUCACUGGUAGGGGUCCAGAAAAAUAAUUACUUGAGAGAAAAAAAAUUUGGAUUUUAGAGAAAAAAGGGCUAGACUUGGAGCUAUUGUCACAUAAGGAACCAUGCAUAUGAUUUGACUUCAAUACAAGAACUUGUAGCUGUGGAAGACUUCCCAACCAAUGAGGAAAUGUAUCAUUGAUCUUGUUCUUCUUCAGAUUCAAGAAUUGAAGGCUGUAGCUCAAAUUUUCAAAACAUUGCGGAAUUGUUCCGCUCAAGUUAUUGUGGGACAAAUCACGAAUUUGAAGAAAAGUGACAUUGCAUAUUAAAGAAGAGACCUCUCCAUUGAAACUAUUAUUUGAGAUCAGAAAGACAUUGAUCGUCGAAGCUGGAAUGGGAAGAUUUCCACGGAUCAAAUUGGAGCUUAAGUCAAGAACUGCAAUAUUCUUCCAUGGAAAGUGCUCAACUUCUGUCAAAGAGUUGUGAGAUACAUUUAAGUCAAAGAGCCAUUGCCCACCUCUUGCAUCCACUGUGGAAUCUUGCCUUCAAUUUUGUUGCAAGAGAGGUCCAAGCUUUCCAAACUUUUAAGCCCUUAUAAAAACUGGGGGAAUUCACUAAGAUUGAAAGAUGACAAACGUAAGUCUAUAAGAUUAGACAAUAUAUGGUUAACACAAGAAGUAGUAUUAAAUGUUAAGGAUAGGCUGUUAUAUGAAAGGUCGAGAAGUUUUAGAGUUGGAAGGUUUGAGAACAUGCGAAACUCUAUGACACCACUAAGAUUAUUUGAGGAUAAAAGGAGGUGGGUAAGAUUGAGAAGUUGGAAUAUUGAAGAUGGAAGAGGACCUUGGAGUUUAUUAUUGUUUAACCUUAUCAAUUCUAGUGUUUUGGAUUGGAAUUCUUUGAUAUGCCCACUGAAUUGUUUUUAGAGAGAUCUAUUGUUUAACCACGUUAUUUUUCAGUGACGGAUCGAGAAAUAAAACUUAGGGGGAGCAGGGGCGAAGUUAGAAAAUUAGUUUGGGGUAAUCGAAAUUAAAUUAUAUAUUUUUAUGAUAGUAAAAAUAGAAUUUCGUCAUUUUAAUAGCCUAUAUCUUUAUAAUUUUUAGAGGAUUAAAUUAAUUUUUUAUCAUUUGAGGGGGGCAAAGUGCAAUUUUACCGUUAUUAAUUUAAAAUUUUAUAAAUUAUAAAUGGCCUAAAUUUUAAAAAAAAAAUCAUUUUAGGGGGUUGAGACCCUGUCAGCCCUCUCCCUAGACCCACCCCUAGUCUUUUUGAUACAAUUUGGCAGUUUAAGUACUUAAUUAGUGCAAAAAAAAAAAAACUAGGGGCUCAAUAGCUUUUUUUUGAAAAAGUUUGAGAGCCUUUUUGAUCCAUUUUGGCAGUUCAAAUGCCCAAUUCAGUGCAAGAAAAGAAGUAGGGGCUUAAUUAUUUUUUUUUAAAAAAAGUUUGAGAGCCUUUUUACACCAUUGAACCUUUUUUAUACUAAUUGGUAGACGCGAAGUUAUAAAUAUUUAAUUGUUAAUGUAAUUUUUAGAAUUUCUAAAGAAUAAUAAUAUUUAAAAUCUUAUAAUUUUUUUUAUUUCAUGUGCAUAAAAAACUUAAAUAAAUAAGUGUUUAGAUUUAGAUUAAUCACGCUGUCCAUUUAUUCAUAUUCAUUCUAGAGGUAUAACUUUUAGUUAUUUUAUAUGUUUUUAUAAUUAAAAAUAAUGGUAUAAAAGUCGAUUAAGUUUUAGCUCAAUUGACAUAGACAUUGUUGUUGAGGAGGACCUAUUGGUAGUUCUAGGCAUUGUGUCAAAAUGAACUAUAUUUGAUAAGAACCUAUAAUGAAAUUAAUGUUAAAAAAAUAAUAGUAUAAAAAGCUAAUAUUUUUAUAAAAGUUUCAUUUUUUUUUCAGUUUUUGGAUUUUUCUCAUAUAAAAUUUUAGAAUUGUUUCUUGAAUUUUUAUAGCUUUUCUUAUUAUGAUGUUAUAUAAUUUUAGAUUUUUAUACAUCUUUAAUAUUUUUUUAGUUUUUUAUUGUUUCUCAAAUAAUGCUUGGUUGAUGUAGCUUGCCAAGUGGUAUCGUGUUAUUGGCUGUCAAUUUCAAUAAUAAAAAAAUUUGGAGUUGAUUAGUUAUGAACUAACUCGAUUAAUCAAUUCUAAAUUUAAGUACUAAUUAAGUCCAAAAAAAGUUCAAAUUUCAAUUCAUGCAAGUUGGAUGGCAAUGAAACGGGAUUGGGGUGCGAAUAUUGUCAAAUUCACUAUUGUUUCAUAGUUGAUGUGUUUUGUCCCAUCACUCACCCCCGCUCCACUAUGGAUGUUUAAUUUUGAAAACCACUCACCCCAUGGAUGUUGGAUGCAUCCAUCCCUGCUUCACGUCGUGCCAUUUCAAUUUAAUUUUUAUUAGUUUUUUUAAAAAUAUUUUCAAUUUUUUUUUAAUUUUAAAAUAUUUUCAAUCUUUUUAAAACUUAUAAAUAUUUAAACAUAAUUAUUCAAGAAAAACAUUUAAACAUAAAACAUAUGAGUUUUUUAUAACAUAUUUUUACCCUUUAAUAGUUAUAAAUAUACAAGGGUCGAAUAGUAAUUUCAAAUAGUGAAAUAGAGUGGAUUGGGACAAACAAUUACCAUAACUGCUACACUUAAUCAUCGUAAAAAAAAAAAAAAAAAAUCUAUUUCAUCCCCGCCCAUAUUCCCUUUUAAAAGGAUCUACUCUAAAUGAAACAAACCAAUUCAAAAUCCAUUUAACAUCCUAAAUUCUAAAACUAAUUUUGAUAUGAAGUCUCAAUUAAAUUCAAGUAAUAAGGUUUUUUGAUAUGGUUUACACUACUAACUUCUAUAUGAAAACAACAACCAUUUCCCAUGAUGUUUGCGGCUUACCAACAAAUCCUUGCAGAUUUUCAACGUAGAAGAAAAUCAUGAAAAUAAAAAAAAAAAAAAAAAAAAAACUCUGGUUGGGAUUUGUUUCAUAUGGAAAACAGAAAACAAAACUUAAGUUAGUCAAAAUUACCAACUCACUGCUGACAACAUUUUUGUUGUAACCAAACAUUUGGAAGAAAAUAAACACAAGAGCACGCCGUUGACCUGUAUUUCUUUUAUUCUUCAAUUCUAUUUCAUCUUUAAGCUGUAACCAAUGAUAAUCAAAUCUUGACUUGCAUAAAAACCAAAGAAAACAAAAUGAAUGCAGCAGAAUUUUCUACCACAAAUGAGUAGUAAUUUACAGAUAAUAAAAUUAUCGAAAAACUAUUGAGAGUCGAAUUUCAUAUUAAUUGUGGUAUCCAUGAACUAGAAUGUAUUAAAAAAAGAAGGAUAUUGACCUUGAGACUACUUGCAAUUUUCAAAAACACUCUCAAUUCCUCUCCCCCUCUUCGGGCACCGGCCCAAGAUCCUGCCAUUGGCUACCACGCCGGCCGCUAGUCGCCAGCGCCGGCGCCGUGCAUGGAGGAGGAGAGUCCAAAAAUAUCCUUUUUUUUUUCUCACAUGCAGAUCCUCGGCCUCCAAACACUCCGACGACGGCUACAAAGGUAAAAAGGCCUCUCAUUUUUUAUUUUUAUAAUGCUUCAAAAUAAAAAAAUAAAAAAAAGGGAAAAAAUCACCUUUAAAAAAAACUGAUUCCUGUUUUUUAUUUCUCUUUGUUUUUUUUUUUCCAAAAGAGAACUCCCUUAAUUUUUCAUCUUUUUUAGCCCUUAAACCUACGUUGUUUAUCAAUAACCUUAAACUUACAUUGUUUACCGGAUGAAAAAUUUAAUAUUUAUUAACUUUGCUAAGGUGCACAUAUGCAAUUUAUUUAAAUCUAAAAACUAUAAAAUAUCUUAAAAUUAAAACUAAAAGUUUUUAAACUACUUGAUUGCUCCUUUCUCCUUUACUGAGCAGUAGCAAAGAUAAUCGAGACUAAAUUGAAAUCCAUGAAAGAAGACAUAAAACACCUCCAUACAAAGUGUCACACUCAAACAAACCAUUACAGAUAGUACGAAAUGCAAUGAAAGACAGAGGAAUUGCUACAAUAACAAAGACAGACACAUACCAAUGCAACCCUUCACCAUAGGCAAAACAAGAAAUUAUGAAAAUACAACACUAGUUCUUGAACAUCAUUUGCAGUAAUUAGAUCCUUCUUCGUCCACUGCUGCGAUUGCCUUUCUUUGACUUUCUUCUUCGCCUCUUCUCAUGUUGGUUUUCAACCAAAUUCACCAACCAUUUCGGCUUUCCAGUUUGGAAAACAACAUAUCCCACCAGCAUUCCGAACACUACUCCGCAUCCAUAACCUAUCAACACCACUUUCCAUUCAAAAGCAAUGUUUGAUUUUGAGCCAUCUUUUUCAAGCACAUUUGGAGGUGCUGGCUCAAUGAUGUUGCAACCUUUCGAGACCGGAAAUCCACAUAGUCCCUUAUUUCCUUCAUAUGAAUCAUUUCCAAAUGUGUUGAAUUGUUUUCCUUGAGGAAUCUGACCAUGGAGUUGAUUUUCAGAAACAUUUAAGGACGAAAGAAAUGACAGAUCUGCCAAUCUAUUUGGAAUCGUCCCAGACAACCUGUUUGAAGAUAGGUCCAACCAUUCAAGACUUGUCAAACUCCCUAUUGAGGAGGGGAUAUCACCAUUAAGGUUAUUAUGAGAAAGGUUGAGCCCUUUCAGUAAGUUAAGCUUCCCAAUAACCUUUGGAAUACCCCCUUCAGACUGAUUGUUUGAUAGAUCAAUGAUCAUCCACAUGGUGAAAAUUUUCACCAAUUCCCUAUCUUGUCCUUUCAUGACAAUUCCAAUGGAAUAGGUAUAGAAGCCACUACCUCGAGAAUCAUUCACCCCCAUGUACGACACCGUACUACCAAUCUUUUCUAGAUUUAUGAUAGCCUUGAAGCUGUUGAUGUAUCUCACUGGUAGGGGUCCAGAAAAAUAAUUACUUGAGAGGUCAAAAAUUUGGAUUUUAGAGAAAAAAGGGCUAGACUUGGAGCUAUUGACACGCAAGGAACCAUGCAUAUGAUUUGACUUCAAAACAAGAACUUGCAAAAAUGGAAGACUUCCCAACCAAUGAGGAAAUGUAUCAUUGAUCUUGUUGUUACCAAGAUCUAGCACUUCCAGACCAUUACAAUUAAGGAUGGAUGGUGUCAAAGGCCCUUCUAACAGAUUUCCAUUUAAGUUGAAAUUAGUCAGUUGGCAUCCCUUUGCAAAUGUUAGAGGAAUCGUCCCAUAGAACUCGUUCUUCUUCAGAUUGAAGACUUGAAGGAUGUUGCUCAGAUUUCCAAAACAUUGCGGAAUUGUUCCACUCAAGUAAUUGUGGGACAAAUCAAGAAUUUGAAGAUAAGUGGCAUUGCAUAUUAAAGAAGAGACCUCUCCAUUGAAACUGUUAUUUGAGAUCAAAAAGACAUUGAUGGUCGAAGCUGGAAUCGGAAGAUUUCCACGGAUCAAAUUGGAGCUUAAGUCAAGAAAUUCAAUAUUCUUCCAUGGAAAGUGCUCAACUUCUGUCAAAGAGUUGUGAGAUACGUUUAAGUAAGUCAAAGAGUCAUUCCCCACCUCUUGCAUCCACUGUGGAAUCUUGCCUUCAAUUU